UUUUUUUUUGGUGAAAGAAAAACAUUACGGAACUAAGUUACAUGAAAAGAAUGAGAGAUACAAAAAUUAUUUUCUUUUUCUGUUUUAAGAAAUGCUAAAGCGUCUUAUGGAAGGGCCUCAACCAGUUAUAAAUCCUGCUUUCUUUCAAAAGCCAAUUUGGCUAAAUAAUCAGCACUUUGAUUCUCCUCCCUAAGAAUGUAUCGUAAAGUCCAUUGACUUUCUUGGGACAAUAUGCAGUGUAUCCUUCCAAUCAGAGCAGAGUUUGACAUCUUUGAGACACUACCAUGUAUAGCUUUAACUAUCUCCAAGCUAUCCGAUUGAAUUACUAUUUUUGUAACAUAAACUAUUCACAUAUUAGAAACAAUGGUAAACUAUACAAAUAGUCAUCCAACUAUGUUCGCGUUCCUGUUUUGGUCACUCAAUUUUAAAAUUUUCAAUUUAGACACUAAACUUUGUAUUUGUUCCUAUUUUAGUCACCCGCCGUUAAAUUGAUAAUGAAAAACUUUUUUUCUAAAUGGUAUAAUAACUCAUUUAGUCCUCAAUACUUACGUAUUCUAUCAAUUUGAUUCUAAUUCUAAAUAAUUGAAUAAAUUUAACCCUUUCCAUUUACAAAUUCUAUCAGUUUGAUCUUCAAGCUUCUUAACCAAAGCUUUCAACUUUUAAAAUAGUGAGAUUCCAUAUCUAUUAAUUUGUAAAAACCCAAACAAACAAAACAAAAAUUCUUCAAAUUGUGCAAAUAUAACAACUUGUAGUAUAAAUAUUUGGCAUCACAUAAUACCAUGUCCAUUUCUCUACCACUCAACUUUUCAAUAAUAUCUCUUACUACGGAAUGCAUGCAUGUACAUAUUUUUGUCCAUUAAGAUUUUCUAAUCUAAAACUAUUCAAGAGCAAAUUAUAAUAAUAAACAUAAUCAAUAAAUCAUUAAAGGUAAUUAGUUAUAAUGUUUCCACUACACAAAACAUAAAAUUAAGAUGAUCAAGUUUUCUAUUUCAAUGCAAUUAAUCUUAAUUUAAAUUUUGCGUAAAUGUGAACUUAUUAUAAAAUUUAUUUUCAUUUAUGGUUUUGAAUAUUAGAUUUGAGAUAAAAAAAUACAAUUACUAAAUUAAAGAUUAUUAUUGAGUUUAGUAUUUCCACAAGUAAAAUAAAAAAGAUAAUUAUAUAAAUAUAUUUAAUAAAAUAAAAAAAAAAAGUAAAAAGUAAACUAAACAUGUGAUUUUUAUUUUAACUUAACUUAAAAAAAUUAAACUUUUUGGGUUUCAAAAAUUUAUAGACUUGAAAUGUCUCUAUUUUAAAAGUUGAAAGUUUUGGUUAAGAAGGUUGAUGAUCAAAUUGAUAAAAUUUGUAAAUAUGAAGGAAUUAAAUUUUUUAAAAUUAAAACUAGAUUAAUAGAAUAUGUAAGUAUUAAAGACUACAUGUGUUAUUAUACUAGUUAAAAAAAUUACACUAUUAUUUAUUUAUCAAUUAACUAGUUUUUUGUCAAAUAAAAAAUCAAUUAAGAGUAAAAUAAGAAUAGAUACUUAAAUUUAAAAUUUUAAAAAUUGCGAAGAGAGCAACAACCACAACUAUUAUUAAUUAUUAUUAUUAUUAUUAUUAUCGAUGAUGAUGAUCGUUGAAGAACUAAGUUUUUGGCCUCAGUAAGCUGCCUCGGAGAAACUAAGGUAGCAUAAAUUCAUGGACCACAAUUUUAAAGCUAAAAUAUUAAAAAGAACAUAACUUUAUAAUUGCAUCCGAAUAAAUAACUUUUGUUGUUGGAAAAAAAGGAAAAAAGAAGACAACUUUUGCGCUUUUAAAUUCUUUGAAAACUAAUAGCUUUUGAUUUUGAAUGUUGAUUAUUGUAUUUGAUUAAUGUUAGAAACAUGAUUUAACUUUUUUUUUCGAUUUUUUAUUCUUUUUUAACAUGGUACAAACAAACUAAUAACUAACAAUAUUUUGAAAUUUAAUAACUAAUAACUAAAUUUCUAAAAGAUAAUUUUUUUCAUGAAGAAACAUAGGUAUAGCCCUAAGUCCAAACAAAACAAGGAAACCAUAAGUCCAUCUAACUUGGAAACAACCAAAAAAGAAUGUGAUACUCUACAUCCAACCAAAUCAGAGGAUCUGGAUGCAAGACACCACAUUUGUUGUCAUAGCAACUCAAACAAACAUUUAAUAUAAUGAUCAAAGCUAUAAAUAUAUUAAGCGAUGCAUGUGAAAUAGACUUAAACAAACCCUUAUACAAUAAAGUAGGGGCAAUGACAUUAAAAAUUGGGACCAAGUUACGAAUCAUGAGUCAAACUAAAAAAAUGCAAGGCAAUGUCUCGAGAGACUGAAGCCAUGUCUCAAGACAUGCCUCGUUUGUAUCUCUAUUUUUGUUUUGAAAUUUGAAGUCUCAAUGUAAUACCCCAUAACCGACCUAGACGACAAGGCCAAGCCUAGAGAGUUACAAUGAAUGACAAUCAAAACACACUCUACAAGUUAUAUUGAAACUCCUUUAAAGUCAUAUAAAGUUUUAAUAAAGAUAAACUAGUACUUCGUGAUUAUCAUCCAACUAACUGAAACAAUGAAACCACUAACAUUAUUAAUAAUACUAAAUGGUGUAAAACGCAUACUCUCCAUCCACAGACUCGUUCAAGCUUAUGAUUUACUUGAAAUCCAUUCAACAAUAAUUGAAUUAAUAUAUCAGAAAGGAACCAACAAUUUACAUAUUCAAUAGGGUACUGGUAAAACUAAGAUAUCCAAGUGCAGAUGUUGAUUCAGAAUCACGAAACACUUCAUUCGAUUACAGAUCAAAAUCAUAGACAGAUAAAAAUUCAUACUGUAGUCAGUUGUAGAACAGAACAGAACAAAUGCAAUUACUUAAAACCAGCCGGUACACACCAUCUCCGACCCACCCAACACACCAAAUAGGGUAUUUAUUACUUUUCCAGCCCUACACACCACAUAGUGUCGGUCUGGCAUGUUUUAGAGAAUGCAGUCUAGCUGCUAGAUCAGAAAACAUAUACCAGUGAGUUAUCCACUGUUUCAAAACAGAAUACUUCCUCCUAAUUCAAUUCCAACCCGAUGUAUAUGUAGACUCCACAUGAGAGUUAAUAUAUAUUUUUAUGUGAAUACUCAAAUACCGCUCAUACUUGAAUACAUUAAAUCAAUUACAUUAACAUUAAUCAAACAUAAUACAUGCCGAUAAUCAAUACUCAGGGUUCAGAUCACAGAAUAUUAGUUUAUAUAGUUUAAUUCAGUUCAAACGGCCUCAUAGAAGGCUUGUAUUCAGUUCGAGCGAUGCUUGGGAUAUGGCAAAAUUUCGUAAGCUGGCCCACACACUAGUGUGGUCUCACACGACCUAAGUAACUGGCCCAUGUGGCCCCACAUAGCCUGGACAUGCUUGUGUGCUUGCCCGUGUGUCUCACACAGUCGUGUCCUCUGCCUGUGCGAUAAUUAUUUUGGAAAUAGUGAGCUACACGGCCUGGACACACGCCCGUCUCCUUUGUCUUUUUGAAUCCUGCACUAUUAAGGCCAUACACGGUCUAAACACACACUUGUUUCCUUUGCUUGUGUGGCUCUUACUUGGUGAAGAGUGAGUUACAUGGGCCACCACAUGUCCUGGUACACGGUCGUGUGGCGUCAACAACCAUUUUUUUUGACAUCCCGUAUUCUUAAAAACUCGGGUUUUCGGUACGUACCUGAAGAAAUUUCGAAGCUAGAAUAACAUAGAAGAUUCCUAAUACCUAAAACAAACAAUCCAUAAGCAAUUAAACGAUAAGUCGAAACAACACUAAGAUUAUCACACAACCAACCCCGUCGAAACCUUUUGACACAAGAAAAUCCUAAAUCGCGUAGUAAUUACCUCCGCACCACCGCAAUCACAAAUCUAGGAAAUUAAAGGGAUUGUUAUCUUCGAUACCCUCUCUUAAAGAACAAUAAUCGAACUUAUAAACAAAGGAUUCGUACAGUUUAAGCAAGAAGUCAAUUUUUUUGCCACUGUGCCAACAAUCAACAAUGGUUUUAGAAAUUGAACAACCAAACUAACAAAAUUAACGGAAACAAACUUACCCGAUAAUAGUAGCAAAUAAUAAGUAUGAAUCUAAGCCGACAUCGAAGAGGAAACAAAAAAGAAGAGAAGAAAAAUAAAAGAACAAAAGGAAAAAGAAAGUAAAUGAAAAGAGGAAGGAAAGAAGAACGUUUAAUUACUGUUUUAAAACUACCGAUCAGAAUUCUGACAAUUAACAAAAAUAUUUACAUACCAUGUACAUCGUGACUCGAGCACAAGACUAGUAAGGGAACAAAUACUUAACCAUUAAACCAGCAAACUCAUUCUUGACACAAAUUUACACAGAAUUGAACUUAAGCCAAUAAGUCAAGGAUAGAAGUUAGUUUAGAAUAAAAUAUCAAAAACUUUCUUAAGACAUGACUCGAACACUUAACCUCAAACAUAUAAAUAGAGCACAUAACCACAAACACAGAGACUUAAUUACUACAAAAUUCCACAAUUAAAAAUUUAAAUUUUAUGGCAUUACACUUAAGACAAUGGGACUAUGUCUCAAGACAUUAACCCCUAUGUCUCAAGACAAAGCCUUAUGUCUUUGAAACCCUAAGCUAAAGGAUCACUAAUUUGGCUUUGAUGUUUUAUGUCUCGAGACAAGGACUCCAUGUACCUAGAAAUCCAAGAAUUUCAAGUUUUUGUUCUUGAGGUAUCAAGACAUGUUCUUGAUGUAUCUAGAGACAAGCCCAGAAAUGUAGAAAAAAUAUAUUUAGUAUCAUGCCAUUGGCCUUCUAAAUGCAGCUAAACAUGCUCUUCAUGUAACCAAACUAUUCCAUACACAUUUAAUAUGUCAUAACUAAUUCAAAACAUGUAAUUUUACGACAUAUAACAUAUUAGAUCAAAAUUCCAUUUGGAAAGUAAAUUGCAACACUUAAGCUAUCAUUAAACCAUAACAAAAAGUACUCAAAAUUCAAUAUGUGAAGACAUGAAAGUUACCCAAGGAGCUAGGUACAUGCUACUUAUUACUAAAACAUCAAAGAGACAUCAAGAACUCUAGUAAGGAGUUGAGGAAUGAGCCUCUGGAUGUCGAGGAAACACGACAAAAUCUUGGGAGAUCACAAAAUACCUAUGCAUAGAAACAAACAAUCCACACGCCGAGCAUUGAAAAGCUUAGUGGUGCUAACAUAACCAAAAGCAUAAUAUAAAAAUAUUAAGUAACACAGUAUUUUGAUUAACAACAUGUUAUUGAUCAAUUAUACAUGCUUCACUAAUAUAUUAACAUUUAACAACAUCUGAAAAAUUUUGUUAAUAGUCGCUUAAGACAACCCCUCAAAUUGAAACCAUAUUAAUAUGUUCACUUCAUAAUGUCAUCAUAGCUUCAUAUUUAUACAACCUUUCAUAAUUCACACAUCCAUAUAAUCUUUUUAACCAAAAUUUAUAUUAAAUUUACAACCCCUCUUAACCAAAUAUGGAAUCAAGAAUGGAUACACGAAUUAAGCACUUACACUCUACAAUGAUGAGCAUAAGCACCAAAUAGACGUAAAAUCUCUAAUGUGUAAACACGUUCCCUUAACAUGCCACAAUAACACGAACAAGUCUCAAUAUGUAAAUAAGCGCACAAGUUCCCAGUAAAACUCACACAAGUGCCAAAUGUUUCCUAUAAUAAAAGUCAAAUUCUAUGGCAUGCUAAUUAUAUCUGAACUAUUUCCAAUAUUAUUUAAUAGGGAAUUUAGUGUUAAGACAUGUCUCAAGAACAUUGAUUAUUAUCAUUACUCAUCAUGAAUCAUCACAUAUAAUUUAAACAUAUCAUUGAUUUAUCCAUUCCACAAUAUGAUUACACAUUCACAUAGUAUCAUUUCAUUCAUAAUUAAAUCAUGGAUAAAGGAUAAUAUUUAAAUACAUAUUGUUCAACCAUAACAACAAUAGUGAUAACCUUAGCUAUAUCACUUAAUAAACUUAUACUAUGAAAUUGAAUUAAUCUAGCACAAAUCAAUAUCCAUAAAGCCAUAGUAACUUUUUCUUUCCCUUUAGCCUUUGAGGACUUGGCCACAUAUUUUGCUACAAAUAAGAAUUGAAACUUAUAAAACAUAAUUAGAAAAACAUAAUUAAGUAGAAAAUCACCUAAAACUAAACAUGAGAUGCAUUUUUAGCAAAAAUUGACAAUCUAAAGCUCUAAGCCUCUAACACUAGAUAAUUCUAAUGAAAAUUGUCUGAAAUUGAAAUCAAAUCUUAGAAUCGUUAAUAAGACCUCCAAAUUACUCCAAAUUAACCAAAAACACUAAAUCAAACACUUUCUUUCUCUAACGCACCUUAAGUACUCAACAAUGGCAUCUUAAGAAAACCUUAACCAAACUUCAUUCUAAUUUGAUUCUUAGUUAUCACACUCCAUUAUGAACUCAUACUUAACCAUAUUUAUGUUCAAAAGCAACAAGAAAUAAAGGAAUCAAACUCUCUCUCAUUAAUUUGAAAAAUGGUCAAUAUUAAAGAAAAAUAGAGAAAAAAAUCAAAAAUCAAGUUUCAAUGUUUAAAAUAAUAAUUUAAUGUUAGAAAACACUUUACUUUGUUGGAACAAUAUAGACUAAACGAAAGAAUAAAAAAAUGCUACUCCUCUAUCUUUCUAAAACCAAUCGUGAACUAAGAAGAAAAUAGAAAGAAAUGUUGAAAUUUAUACAGAUUAUAAGAGCCUUAAGUACCUCUUCACCCAAAAGGAGUUGAAUUUAAGGCAAAGGCGUUAGAUUGAACUUUUAAAGAUUAUGAUUUUGUGAUAGAGUAUCAUCAUGGCAAGGUGAAUGUUGUUGCUGACGCUUUGAGUAGAAAGUCGAUGACGAACUUGUAAGCUUUGUUUGCGUGCUUGAGUUUAGACAGUGAUGGUGGUUGUUAGCUAAACUUCAAGUGAAGCCAACUUUGUCUCAACAGAUUAAAGAGAAACAGAUUAAAGUUGCCGCCAGAAUUUGAGUGAAUCCAUGAUAUUUUCCAUGUAUCUAUGUUAUGGAAGUGUUGUUCAGAUCUGUCACUGAUCGGUUGUUUAACGUCACAAUAAUAAUGUGCAAGCACACACUGUCGAUGCAAGUAUAGUAGACAGAUGUGAGUCUGUUAGAUAUCGAUCCCACAGGGAUGGUAGACUUUUGUCUAUUAAUGUCGAGCAAUAACUAGAUAGAAACGAGAUAAAUUGUGAGAAUACUUGUGCAUGCAAUAACUUGAAAACAAUAAAAUAUAAGAUGAUAGUGAUAAAAUGGGAUCCAUAACAUGAAUCUUCAGCAGAAUACUAAGUGCUCACAAGGUAUAAAAAGAUAGGUGAUUGUCGAGGCAAUAAAAUUCAAUGUAUAUCUUACCCAAUGUCACUCCUCUAUUUAAUCUGAGACUUAAACAUGCAUACUAACCCCACCUUCUAAUGAUGGCAAUAUGACACUAUUAAGAACAAGUGGACUAAAUUCCUCUUAUACUCACUCAACUUCUAUUGUAAUGCUUGUUGGCUCAAACUAUCACUGCAUUUUCCAGUGUCAGUGACUGCAAUAACACUUCUGUGUUAAAAAACUUUUAAACCCCAAGAUUAAACAAUAAAAGCAAGAUUGAAUAAGAUAACAAUUCACCAAGAAUUCAUGUGUACUUCCAUACAAACAGAAAAGAGAGAGUAAUCACCAGCAUUUAAAAAGAAAUAAGAAAGUAAAGAAUUCUAUUCCUAGACAACUCGACUGAAUCUCUUCAUUCCCUCUUAUCUCACGCUUAGGUCUCCUCGUUAGAAGCUAGUCUGCAUCUGGUUUUCACGUUGGCUCACCCCUGAGAGGCUUAACCUGCCAUGGUCGUAAGCUUUAAGGUAGGAUGAUGAAGAUGAUGAUCAGGAAAAAAAAGCUCCCAUUUUCUUCUCACGUCACCUUUUAUGUCCUCAUCCAAUAGUAUAGGUGUCUUUUCUUCAGAAUUAUUCUAUUCUUGUACGUACAAGUUGGUAUACCAGACUCGAUAGCUCACGCAAUUUUAGUUCUUAUCUAGACAACUAUCAGGUACGGUGACAAUUCUGGACGCAAUCUGGAAUUAACUCAUGCAAUGACAUGAAUGCAAUAAGAUAGCAAAACUAAGGAUAAAAUAGGUUAGGAUUCACUGAGUUAUAAAAAGCAAUUUACUAAAGUGAAAAUGCUAAAAUAUAUGCUAAGGAUAACUAAAUGGGAACAAUUUAACCAAUAAGUAAGGGGGAAAACCUAUGUUCUUUCUAGUGCUAUCACACCCCCAAACUUGUGUUUUUACUUGUCCUCAAGUAUAAUAGAAACUAGCAAGGCUAAAGAAAUUUUUACUAAGGCAAAUGAUCAUUCUAGCAACUUAAACCCUCUCAAUUCCCAAUGGAUUAAUCACAUUCAAAUGAAAGAAUAUUGCAUCGACAAUUCAUAAGCAUGAAUGAAUAAGGUUUCAACUUCAUCAAUGCUAGCAUCAUGCUUCAAACCCUAAAUUCUAUCUACCAUUAUAGCAUUUAAUGUAAAAUACUAAUUAUUUAUAUAUUAUAUAUAUACAUUUUUUUCAGAAUAAGGGAUAUCGUUGCAUUAUUGUACCCUUGUCCCUGAAAAGUAACGAUGGAGUGCAACAAACCCCUAGGGAGUACGUAAUUACGCCGACACACACUCAUGCAGCGACAACCUUUGGCCAGAAUGAUUUUUUUAACGGUAGUAUUGGAGUGUUCCCUCUUUAACAUUCCAUACUACACCCACUUUAGAGUGUCUCUAAUUUAUAACUAUAAAUACAUAUGUAAGCAGUUGUAAAAAGAAUAUUCAUUCAAGAUUUAAGGAAUGAUAGCAGUCAUCCAUUACUAAUACAACCUAAUCCAUUCAUCAAAGAAUUGAAGCGAAACUUGGGUUACAAUUGUGUUUCAGUUCGACUUACAAGUGACAUGCUUUCCCAAAAAUCCAAUUGAUAUGCUGACAUCCCUAAUGGGGUUUUGUAUACUACUGCAAUGCCCAUAAGGCGUCAUCCAAUCGAAAAGACCAAUCUUUCCUUAAAUGGUUUACAACCUUCUCAAGAAUGUUCUUAAUUUUUCGAUCCGAAACUUCGACUUGUCUAUUGGUUUGCGGAUGAUAUGUAGUAGCCAUUCUAUGAUUAAUUCCAUAUCUCUUCCGUGCGGGUUCCACUUGGUUGCAAUGAAAGUGUGUACCCUGAUCACUAAUAAAAACCUUUUAUCUGCCAAAGCGAGUGAGUAUAUGCUUGUGAAAAAAUUUUAGCACUGUCUUUGCAUCAUUCUUUAGGACUGCAACAGCUUCAACCCACUUCAAGACAUAGUCAACAGCUACUCAUAUAUAAAGAUUUCCAAAUGAACUCGAAAAUGGUCCCACCCCAAAUAUUGAAUAAUUCAACAUCUAUAAUUGGCUACUGCACAAUUUCAUUACGUUGGGAUAUAUAACUAAUGCACUGACACCUAUCGCAUUGAUUCACAAAAUUAUAGGCGUCUUUGAAUAAUGUCAGCUAGUAGAAUCCUAAUUGGAUAACUUUAGCCGCAGUUCUUAUACCACCAAAAUUACAUCCAUAAGGAGCAUCAUGAUAAUGCUUUAGGAUUGAAAGCAUCUCCUUUUCCUGAACACAAUGUCGAAUGAGUUGUCAUUGCAUACCUUGAAUAAAUAUGGCUCGUUCCAAUGAUAAUUCACUACGUCACGAAGAAUAAUUUCUUUUUUAUGGCCUGUGACACCUAAUGAGAGUUUUCAACACACUAGAUAAUUAACAAAAUCCGCAUACCAAGGAGUUGCAUAUACAACAAAUAACUUCUCAUCUGGGAAGGUGUCGACGAUUUGAAGUAUGUUUCCAUCUUCACUACCAGCUUCUAAUCGAGAUAGAUGGUAUGCAACUUGAUUCUCUAAACCCUUAUGGUCUUUUAUCUCGAUGUCAAAUUCUUGCAAUUGUAACAUCCAACGUAUUAGUCUUGGUUUAGCAUCCUUUUUCGGAAAGAGAUAUCUCAAUGUCGAAUGAUCUGUGAAUACAGUAACCUUUGUACCGACAAGAUAGGAACAAAACUUGUCAAAAGCAAAGACUACAGCCAGCAAUUCUUUCUCUAUGAUGGUGUAGUUGAGUUGAGCCUCUGUAAGUGUUUUGCUAGCAUAAUAGAUGACGUGAAAUAUUUUUCCCUUUCGUUGUCCUAGAACCACACCCACAAUAAAGUCACUUGCAUUGCACAUAACUUUAAAAGGUUGAUACCAAUCUGGUACAACAAAAAUGGGUGCAUUCACUAGCUUUUUUUUAACUGAAUAAAGGCAUCCAGACAUGCAUCCUCAAAGAAGAAUUUUCGAUUCUGUUCCAACAAUGAGCAUAAGGGCUUUGCAUUUUUCAAAAAAUCUUUAAUAAACCUUUGGUAAAACCCCGUAUGUCCAAGAAAACAGAAAAUACCCCUCACGUUUGUUGCCAGAGGUAAUUUCUCAAUGAUUUCCACCUUAGCUUUGCCUACUUGAAUGCCUUGACUAGAGAUGCAGUGUCCUAACACAAUGCCUUCAGUUUCCAUGAAAUGAAAAUUUUCCCAAUUCAAGACAAGAUGUCUGUCCUCACAUCGCUUCAAUACUUUAUCCAAAUUGUCAGUGUAAUGAUCAAAAUCAUUCCCAUAGACUGAAAAGUCAUCCAUAAUCACCUACAAAGAGUCUUCGAUCAUAUUUGAGAAUAUUUCCAUCAUGCACCUUUAAAAUAUGGUUGGAGUGUUGCAAAGACCGAAAGGUAUACGGCAAAAAGUGAAAGUUCCAAAUGGGCAGGUGAAGGUUGUUUUCUCCUAAUCCUCUAGUGCAAUAGCAAAUUGAUUGUACCCAUAAUAGUUAUCUAGAAAGCAAUAAUAGGCCUUUCCAGCAAGCCGAUCCAACAUUUGGUCAAUGAAAGGAAGUGGGAAGUGAUCCUUUUUUGUAACUGCAUUAAAUUUGAGAUAAUCCAUACAAACUCACCAUCCCGUGGGAAUACAUGUAGGAAUUAAUACAUCCUUAUCAUUAUGCCACAGUGAUGCCACUCUUUUUAGGCACACAUUGCACUGGAAUUACCCAAUUACUAUCAAAAAUUGGGUAAAUAAUUCCAGCAUCAAGCCAUUUUAUGAUUUCCUUCUUGUCAACUUGCUUCAUCUUUUCGUUUAAUGUUCUUUGUUGUUCAACCGACUGCUUGCCUUUAUAUUCCAACUUAAUCUUAUGCAUGCAAAAAGGACUAAUACCUAAAUAUCGACAAUACUCCAAGCAAUAGCUCGUUUAUGUUGCUUGAGAAUGUGGACCAAUUUCUCUUCUUGAGUUACUUCUAGUGUUGUGGAGACAAUAACUAGGAGAGUAUUGUGAUCACCUAGAAAGACAUAUUUAAGAUGAGGAGUAGUGGUUUCAAUUCUAAAGUAGUAGCUUCUUCAAUAAAUGGUUUGAAAAUUGGGGUUGUUCUCUUGGCUAGGUCUAAGGAUUCAAUCUACCAUCGAUGCUUAAGUUUAAGAUUAUUAGCUUCAACCAUGUUGUCAUGAUCGUCUAAGGAUUCGACAUCAGAUGUCACUACAAACUUUUCAGAAAGUAAUGUGCUUUGGUCAUUGAAUUCUUCCUCAAUUAGAUCAUUUAGCACAUCGACAGUAUGACAUUCUUCUUUGUCCUUGCAUUGAAUAGAUUCAAAAACACUGAAGGUGACUUGCUCAUCAUUAAGUCACAUGGUUAUUUCACCUUUAUAAACAUCAAUAAGAGUUCGAAUGGUAGCUAAAAAUGGUCGUCCCAAUAUUAUGGGAACCUCCUUGUCUGCCUUGCAGUCAAGUAUGAUAAAAUCAACCGAAAAAACAAAUUUAUUCACACAAGCUAAAACUUCUUUUAUUUGCCCUUCAGGUUGAGCCAAAGAUCGAUUAGCUAGUAGUAAUGUCACUGCAAUAGACUUCAUGUGACUAAUUCCUAACUUUCUGAAAGUAGAUAAUGGCAUUAGGUUAAUGCUAGCUCCCAAGUUGCAUAAAGCCUUGCCUAAAUAAUGAUUGUCAAUUGAACAUGGGAUAGUAAAGCUCAUAGGAUCUUUCAAUUUAGAGGGAAACUUGUUUGUCAAAAUAACACUACAGCCUUCUGUGAGUGUAAUAGUUUCAAUAUCAAUGAACUUCUUCUUCUUGGAAAAGAGGUUUUUCAUAAAUUUCCCAUAACUCAGAAUUUGUACCAGAGUGUCCAAUAAAGGAAUGUUGAUCUGCAGUUGCUUCAGUGUGUCAAGGAAUUGCUGAUACUGGUUGUCCUACUCAUUCUUUCAGAAUCUUUCUAGAAAGGGUAAAGGUAGAGAUAUAUCUGCUUGCGCUAACAUCUUUGAUUGCGGCGACAGUUUUGAAGGUCAAACAUUAGGCAUAUGAGAGACAAUUCGUGGAACUUCUUGUUUGAUGCAUUGACAAACUCUUUAGAUUCAACCUUCUCACCAGUGAUCACUCCAUCCAUAUCUUGAGGUGCUACAGUAGAGUCGAUAAAGGAUUUUCCAGUUUGUUUACCACUCCUAAGAGUGAUAGCCUUACAAUUUUCUUUCCUUCUCAGACUAGGAUUUUUCGUGUCACUAGAUAAUAAGCUUGGUGGUCGAGUAUUCAGAUUUGAAGCAAGUUGUCCUAAUUGUGCCUCCAAAGCUCGAAUGGAAGAUGAAUUCCCUUGUAUGGUAGCUUCCGUGCGAGUAAUAUGCUCCCGCAUUAACAUCUCAAGAGUUGCUAAAGGGUCAGAAGUAGAAGCUUGAGUUUACGGUUGCUGUCGAUGUCCUUGAACAUGCUGAUUUGGUAUUGAAAGUGUUGUGGCUGCAUCAAAUUUUGGUGUGGAUGUAUCUGGCCUUGUUGUAGAUGCAUUUGAGUGUGCUAAUUGUAGUUUUGCUAUUGUUGAUUGGAAUUCCCUUGUUUGGGAUUAUAAUUUCCUUGAGUAGAUGUAUUUUCAUAUCUGAGUGUCGCAGCAUUUUGUCCACCAUUCUGAGUUCCCCAAAACUGUUGGUUGCGUGCAAAAUUGUUGUAAGAGUUACCAUAAGAAUUGUUGCGGAUGUUACUAAUAUAACAACCAUUGUCUGCAUGUUGUGGGCAAUCUUCAUAGCUACGGUUGUCACUACAAAUUUCACAACAAAAAGCAAGAACAUCAACUUGCUGAGUGACUUGUAUAGGUGCAACACCACUAGUCCCUUGCAUAUUUUUAAUCAUAUUUGUGAAAGAAGAAGCUUAAGCACUUAGUGCGGUUAUUGCAUCCAAUUCAAUAACUCCUAUAGUAGUUUUUGCUUGUGCAGCUCUGGAGAUAGGGUAUUGAUAAUCAUUCUGAGAAAUUCUCUUGAGAAUUCUUACAGCAUCAUUAUAAGUACAAUCCAGUAGAGGUCCAUUGGCUGAUGCGUCGAAAAAAUUCCUUGUAUGUGAAUUCAACCCAUUAUAAAAAUUAUCAAUUUGUGUUUCUGGUUGAAUGUUCUGCAUAGGACAACGUCAAAGUAAAGAUUUAUAAUGUUCUCAUGUGGUGUGAUGAUUUUCAUCAUCCAAUUGAUGAUAAGCAAUAAUAUUAUUUCGAAGACGAGCAGUCAUUGUCAACGGGUUAAAUCGCAAAACAAACUGUGUUGCUAGUGCAUCCUAAGAAGUAAUUGAUCCAGUAGGUAGCCCAAAAAACCAAGUACGGGCUAUUCCCUGUAAGGAAUAAGGAAAUAAUUGCAUCUUCAAGGCAUCAUCAAGAACGCCUUGUUGACUAAAGGAAGCACAGAUCAAUAAAAAGGAUUUAAGAUGUUCUCUCAUAUCUUCAUGUGGCAGUCCAACAUAUUGUCCAUUAGAAUUUAGCAUUUGAAACAUUACUGGCUUGAGUUCAAAAUUCCCAACUUGGAUUGCUGACCUAACAACUCGUAGUUGUAAAUCAUCCAAAACAGGUAUUAUAAAAUCUCAUAUAGUCCUAUUUUGUAUGCGAGCAUCUUGCAACAACAAUGGGUUAUUAACAUUUUCUAUUGCAUCGGGGGUAUAGCUACAUUGUUCCCUGGUACAGCCAUAUUUCUUUGUUCUCGAAGUCUACUCCGAACAAUUCUUUCAAUUUUUAGAUCAAAAUCGGUAAGAAAAUCUGACUUGUUUCGGGUCAUAAAACACCUGAAUUGAAGUUAAAGAAUUAGCAACAAAGAAAAACCAAUUAGUGAAUACUAAAUAUUAUAUAAGGAAAAUAAAGUGCAAAAACACAUAAAAACAAUAAUAAACAUCAAACAAACGUCAUUUCCGGCAACGGCACCAAAAACUUGAUUGGUUGUUUAAUGUCACAGCAAUAAUGUGCAAGCGUACACUGUUAAUGCAAGUAAAGUAGACAGAUGUGAGUCUGUCGAAUAUCGAUCCCGCAAGGAUGGUAGUCUUUUCUCUAUUAAUGUCGGUGCAACAACUAGAUAGGAACGAGAUAAAUUGUGAGAAUAGUUGUUGAUGCAAUAACUUACAAACAAUAAAAUAAAAUAUGAUAAUGAUAAACUGGGAUCCCUAACAUGAAUCUUCAGCAGAAUACUAAGUGCUCACAAGGAAUAAAAAGAUAGGUGAUUGUCGAGGCAAUAAAAUUCAAUGUAUAUCUUACCCAGCAUCACUCCUCUAUUAGGAACGAGUAGGCUAAAUUCCUCUAAUCCUCACUCAACUUCCAUUGUAAUGCUUGUUGGCUCAAACUAUCACUACACUUUCUAGUGUCAAUGACUGCAAUAGCACUUCCAUGUUAAAAAAAUUUCAAACCCCAAGAUUAAAUAAUAAAAGCAAGAUUGAAUAAGAUAACAUUUCCCCAAGAAUUCAUGUGUACUUCCAUAGAAACAGAAAACAGAGAGUAAUCACCAGCAUUUAGAAAGAAAUAAGAAAGAAUUAAGUGGAGAAUUCUAUUUCUAGACAACUCGACUGAAUCUCUGUAUUCCCUCUUGUCUCGCACUUAGGUCUCUUCGUCAAAAGCUAGUCUCGUUGGCUUACCCGUGAGAGGCUUAAGCUACCAUGACCGCAAGCUUCAAGGUAGGAUGAUGAAUACGAUGAUUUGAAAAAAAAACUCUAUUUUUCUUCUCACGUCCACCUUUUACGUCCUCCUCCAACAGUCCAGGUGUCCUUUCCUCACAAUUAUUUUGUCCUUCUACGUACAGGUUGGUUGUACCAGACUGGAUAGCUCACGCAAUUUUAGUUCUUAUCCAGAUAGCUUUUAAGUGCGGCGAAAAUUCUGGACGCAAUCUAGAAUUAACUCAUGCAGCGACAUUAAUGCAAUAAGAUAACAAAAGUAAAGAUAAAAUAGGCUAGGAUUCACUGAGUUGUAAAAUACAAUUUACUAAACUAAAAAUUCUAAAAUAUAUGCUAAGGAUAACUAAAUGGGAACAAUUUAACCAAUAAGUAAGGUGAAAAACCUAUGUUCUUUCUAGUGCUAUUAGUCGCACAUUGUGCCAAUGGAGGAGAUUGAAGUUCAAACUAAUCUCACUUAUGAGGAAGAAUCGAUUAAGAUUCUAGCUUGCUAACCUCCCCCAAACAUACCAACAUCUAGAGUAGAAAUCCUGCACAAAAGAUGUGGAAAAACAGCAUCCGCAAGUAUACAAGUCAAGUUCUAAUAUAGUUACAAUGGGGUAGGUAAGUACUCCGAGGUGUUAGAGUAUGCCCAAAGAUCAAUCAUGAGAUAGUUGUAAUAACAUACUUGAUUUAUCAUGUUUAUUAAUAUAAGGCGUUACCAUUAUUAUUUCAGUUUCUUUUCUGUGUGUUUAAAUAAAUUGUUUUAUAAUAAUGUCCUGAGAAUAAUAUGAUUAUUCUUAAAAGGUCCUUAGUCAAGUAUUAUUGUAGGCUAGGACAACAAUAAUGCAUUAACACUAACAUGUAGUUGAUUGAUGAUAAAGAGUUGUCAUUGAUAUGGAGUGUCAAAAUCAAUGCAUGAAUAUGUAUGUUAAAGAACAACAUAUUGGACUGACCUAUUAUGAGUAUGUUUCUUAGAUUAUUAUGUAAUUGUCACAACAUUACUCAUAAUGAUUAAUAUGUAUAUGAUCCUCAGACUUAAGAUCAUCAUUAUCCCAACAUAGUGUGUUGUAUAUUUUGAUACAGUCAAACGUAUACCGUAACUGGUUGUUCUAUAAAGGCUGAUGUAGGAUAUACCAUGAUCUAUGUCGAGGGAUAUGGUUGAUCAAUAUAGGAUAGGUCCCUCCUACAUAAUCGGAGUAAUAUCUUAGGCCACUUGAUUGAGUGAGAUUAGAAAUGCAUGGCCAUGCUCAAAUAAGAUGAUAUGAGAUGUCGUACUUAUUUGUAUAUCAUAGUCUACUCAAGAUAUCAAGGAACAUGGGAUGGACUAUGCAAGUGUGACUAUUCCAUGACUUGUGUCCAGCCUAGAGAUAAAGGACUUAAGGAUUAAUGCAUGAAAGGUUAAUCGCAAAAAGGUUAUGUCGAAUCAUGAUUUCUUGUGACUUAGGUAGCAAUGAUGCAUUGCUAGGUGCCACUCAUUGUUUGUAACAUUAGAAUCGUUCUAAUAUUACUGCUAACGUUACAAGAACCUACAGGGACACACCCUAUAGUUGAAAUGAACGGAAUAAAACAUAGUUGGUAUUAUUUUUGGUUGUCGCUUGAAUUAAAUUAAUUAUAGAAUUAAUUUAAUUGGGAAAUAAAAUAUCAAAAACAUUAUAUGUACAAGGUUGUUGUACACAUAAUGAGAACGUUGUUAUAUUUAUUUAAUUUUGGGUUCGUAUAUAAAUUCAAAUAAAUAUAUAGUUUACCGAAAUCAUUAUUACAAUUAAUGUAAUUAUAAUUUUCGGUUUAAAAAUAAUAUAUUUAUUUAAUUUUGAAAACCCUAAAAAAGAGAUAUAAAAAAUCUCGUUUUCUUUGCUUGGUGAGUCUCGCAGCCGUCAAAGCAAAGUCUUCUCCAAAACUGUUUGAGGAUUCCUUCCAUUCAUAGUCAAUUGGGUGGAUUACGUGGAGGUCGGAGUCAUCAAAGAUUGUGACUUGGUUCGACAGUAGAUCUAAUUACUCAUUGCUGAGGCGUCGCUAUCUACUCAGAAUCACAUUCAGUAAUUUCGAAACCCUUUUUCACCCCGAUUCGUUCCUCACACUUGGAUCCAUGGUUCGGAUCACCAGGUGUUUUAUUUUUCUGCUACGCCGUAGGGGUGUCGGCUUUCCAACAGUGGUAUCAGAUCCAUUUGUGUGAUACGGACUCGAGUUUAAAUACUUGGGUGAUGUAAUUGUAUGAGAUGCAUGCUUUAAUUUCAUUAAAUUUCUAACUGUUUCAAUCGUUUAAAAGUAAUCUGUUAACCAUUUCUUUUGACAAUGGAUUAAAUGUUAAUAGUGUGUUAUGGCCUAUUUGGUUUUAUGUUAUUACUGUUAAGUGUUAAUAGAUCUAUAAUGGUGCGACAGUGGUGUUGACAGUUUCCAGUAAGAGUUAACUGGUUAGUGGAACAAGGGUUGUUCCGGCAUGAAAUGUCAGGGAUUAAAAUCCCAAAAACACGAUUCUAUUGAUAAAAUUUAUCAAAUCGUGAAGUUUCAUUUGAAUGGGGUAUGUGGUUCAGCCCGCUUUCUCUGCCGCCUCAGCCCCAUCUUCUUAAAGUAUGUUUUAUAAUAAAUAAAACUUGGUGCGCCAUAAAAUUUGAAAGGAUAUGUCAUAAUUCACCUUAACAAAAGUGUUUAAUUAUGUAUGCUAUUUUUGACAUGCACGGUGUUUGAAAUGCAUAGUUAUAGCCCAACGGCCCAUUUGAUAAAAGGUUGUAAUUUUAUAAAUACAAUAUGCGUGUCGUGCCUUACUACUAUUCUCUUGUAUUUCUCUUCUCAUCUUACUCCCUUGUAUGUAAAACGAGUUUCUGCAUAUUGUAAUUUACAAGAGUUGCCGUGGGCUAGUCGAGAAGGAAGAUGGGUCAACCAGUAUGGACUGAUAGCUUGAAAACCGGCUUACACCUUUAGGUUUCCUUUUGGUUCUCCCAUUGGCUUGGGUUGCUCCACCUUAGUUUAUGGGCUAUAACUAUUGCAUUUAUUUAUAGCUUUAUUCAUGUAUGAAAUGCUAUGGAUGUCUAAAGCAUGCCAAAUUUUAAAUAUGUUAAAAUUUUAUAAUAAUAAACCACAUUAAUUGAUGAGAUCAAUUAAAUGGCUAAAUGGACUAAAAUAAACCAUAAUUGGUGAGAUGGAAUGAUCUUAAUAAAAUCUCUCUAUUAAAAUAUUAAGUCAACAUAGCCUUCCAAUUUUACCCUCAUUAAGGCCUCGAUCAAUACUGUGUAGGUUCUGCUAAAGCGAAGUACUAGUAUUUAUCUUAGUUAAACGCGAAGAAUAAAAGUGAUAUUCGCAGGUUAAAAUUGGUUAAUGACUUAACUAGGUUAUUCUAAUAGGAUUAGAAACCUAGAGGCAAGUAAUUUGGAUAAAUCAUAAGAUGAUUAGAACAAGAGUUGUUCACCAAAAGUUAGGAGUUACAUAUGAUGUAAUUAGCAAGUGUUGCUUACCUAGAUAACCAUAAUCUUGAGAGUAAAGCCAAAGCUGACUUAAGAGGAGGUGAAAUAUGGAUCCUUAACCCACUUGAAAUACUUUUCGAGAAAGUCUUUUCGAAACUAAUAUAUGAGCGUAUUAGUUUUGUAAUAAAAUAGUGGAAACAUAAUUUAAUUAAGUCCUUUUAAUGAUUGAUAUAAAUUUGAUAAAUUUUCACACGCAUAAUUUUAUUGUUGUAGAUAUAUUAUGGCUGCAAACACUAAUACACUCUCAUUGCAAUCGGUCCUUGAGAAGGACAAAUUGAAUGGUUUAAAUUUUCUUGACUGGUUCCGUAACUUGAGGAUUGUCCUCAAACAAGAACGAAAAUUAUAUGUCAUUGAACAACCAGUUCCUAACGAACCACCCGCUAAUGCCUCGAGGGCUGAUAAAGAUGCUUACAAGAAGCAUCUGAUGACAUGGUAGACGUUGGAUGUCUUAUGCUUGCCACUAUGAAUCCUAAGCUUCAGAAGCAACAUAAGGACAUGGUUGCUUAUGAAAUGAUUGAGCACCUGAAAAAACUUUAUCAGGGGCAAGCACGGCAAGAGAGAUUCGAUAUCUCUAAGGCCCUAUUCCAAUGUAAGCUGGCUGAAGGAAGCCCAGUAGGACCUCAUGUCCUUAAGAAGAUUGGCUAUAUUGAAAGCCUGUCUAAGCUUGGGUUUCCAUUGAGCCAAGAUUUGGCCACUGAUGUUAUUCUACAAUCGUUUCCGGAUAGCUACAGCCAGUUUGUCCUUAAUUUCAAUAUGAAUGAAAUUGAGCCACAGUUGCUCAGCAUGUUACGAACUGAUGAAGGCAACAUGAAAAAGGUUGGACCCAAGCUUAUACUGAUGGUCCAUAAUAACAAAGGCAAGGGAAAGGCCAAAGUUUAGACAAAGCCCAAGGGCAAAGUUAGGCCCAAGCCUGGAAAAGUAAAGGCUGCAUUGAAACCUAAAGGUGGGGUGGCUAAGGAAGGAAACUGUUUUCAUUAUGGUGUAACUGGACAUUGGAAGCGGAACUGCCCUAUCUAUCUUGAAGAAGUCAAGAAGGCCAAAAUAAGCGGAACGUCUGCUUCAAGUAUUUAUGUUAUUGAUAUUAAUUUAUCAACUACUACUUCAUGGGUAUUAGAUACUGGUUGUGGUUCUCACAUUUUUACUUCUAUACAGGGACUGCAAAGGAGUAGGACUUUGGCUAGAGGAGAUGUAGACCUAUGAGUUGGAAAUUGAGCAAAAGUUGUUGCAUUAGUUAUGGGAACAUAUAAAAUAUCUUUGCCUAGUGGACUUGGUUUAUGUUUAGAGGAUUGUUAUUAUGUGUCCAGUUUAACUAAAAACAUUAUUUCAGUUUCUUGUUUAGACAAAAUUGGUUUUGAGAUAAUUAUUAAGAAUAAUUGUUGUUCCUUUUAUCUCAAUAAUGUUUUCUAUGGUUCGGCACAAUUGAUUAAUGGCCUCUAUAUUUUAGAUCAAAUGAAUCCUAUUUACAACAUAAAUACUAAAAGAUCAAAAAUAAAUUACUCAAAUCAAACUUAUCUAUGGCAUUGUCGUUUGGGCCACAUAAGUGAGAAACGCAUAUCCAAACUCCAUAAAGAUGGUCUCUUGGAUUUAUUUAUUUUUGAAAAAUUUGAAGUAUGUGAAUCUUGCUUAGUGGGAAAAAUGACUAAAACUCCUUUUACUGGUAAAAGUGAACGAGCUAGUGAUUUAUUGGGCCUAAUACAUUCUGAUGUAUGUGGGCCAAUAAAUACACAGGCUAGAGGAGGAUUUCACUACUUUAUUACUUUCACUGAUGAUUUCAGUAGAUAUGGGUAUGUCUAUCUCAUGCGUCAUAAGUCUGAAUCCCUUGAAAAGUUCAAGGAAUUCAAAAAUGAAGUACAAAAUCAACUAGGAAAAACUAUCAAGACAUUCGAUAUGAUCGAGGUGGGGAGUAUUUGAGCUUAGAGUUUGAUGAUCUUUUGAAGCAAUGUGGGAUUGUCUCACAACUUACUCCUCCUGGUACUCCUCAAUGGAAUAGAGUUUCUAAGAGAAGAAAUUGAACUUUGUUAGACAUGGUUCGAUCCAUGAUGAGUCAUGCUGAUCUAUCGACUUCCUUUUGGGGACAUGCACUUGAGACAGCUGCUUUCACACUAAAUUGUGUUCCAUCUAAAUCGGUUCAAAAGACGCCAUAUGAGAUGUGGACUGGGAAACGUCUCAGUAUGUCUUUUAUGAAAAUUUGGGGUUGCGAAGCUUAUGUUAAACGUCAAACGUCUACUAAGCUUGAACCUAAAUCUGAAAAAUGUGUUUUUGUGGGGUAUCCAAAAGAAACCAAAGGAUAUUAUUUCUUUAAUCCCACUAAGAACAAAAUACUUGUUGCUCGGGCUGGUGUCUUCCUAGAGAGAGAAUUUGUUUCUAGAAAAGGAAAUGGGAAAAAGAUUGAACUUUAAGAACUUUGAGAAUCACAAAAUACCACUAAACCAGAGAUAGAACAACAGCAAGUUCCACAAAGGAUUGAGGAACAAGUAACUGCUGUAGAAACACAACCAUCGCGUAGAUCUUUAAGAGAACGCCAAGCACCUGAGAGAUAUGGAUUUCUCAUUACAACGCAUGGUGACAUUCUACUUAUAGAUCAAGAUGAUCCUAGGACUUAUCAAGAAGCGGUGAUGAACCCAGACUCUAAGAAAUGGCUUGGGGCCAUGAGAUCUGAGAUGGAUUCCAUGUAUGAAAACCAAGUAUGGAACCCAGAGGUUAAACCCAUAGGGUACAAGUGGGUUUCCAAAAAGAAAAUCGACAUGGAUGGUAAUGUACAAACAUACAAGGGGCGAUUAGUCGCUAAAAGUUUUCACCAAGUUCAUGGUAUUGACUAUGAUGAAACGUUUUCUCCUGUAGCUAUGUUUAAACCAUCAGGAUCUUGCUCGCUAUAGCUGCAUUUCAUGACUAUGAAAUCUGGUAGAUGGACGUCAAAAUAGCUUUCCUUAAUGGGAAACUUGAAGAGGAUGUGUACAUGACAUAACCUGAAGGUUUUGUCAAUCCAAAGGAUGCUAGAAAGGUAUGUAAGCUACAAAGAUACAUUUAUGGAUUAAAGCAAGCUUCUCGAAGUUGGAAUCUUCAUUUUAACGAUGCAAUCAAAGAGUUUGGUUUUAUCAAAAAUGAAGAUGAGCCAUGUGUUUAAAAGAAAGUUAGUGGGAGCACUUUAACAUUCUUGGUACUGUAUGUAGAUGACAAACUUAUCAUAGGAAAUGAAAUACCUACCUUGCAGUCUAUUAAGACUUGGUUAGGAAUUUGUUUUUCUAUGAAGGUCUUGGGCGAAGCUACUUACAUCUUAGGAGUAAAGAUCUAUAGAGAUAGAUCAAGAUGACUACUAGGUCUAAGCCAAAGUACAUACAUAGAUAAAGUACUGAAAAGGUUCAGUAUGGAAGAAUCUAAGAGAGGAUUCCUACCUAUGAGACAUGGUAUUUCACUCACGAAGAAAAUGUGUCCUUCAACUCCACAAGAGAGAGAAUGCAUGAGUAAAAUUCCAUAUGCUUCCUCUAUUAGAUCUAUCAUGUAUGCCAUGUUAUGUACCCGUCCAAAUGUCUCAUAUGCCUUAAGUAUGACGAGCAGAUACCAAGUAGAUCCCAGUGAAGGUUACUGGACCACAGUCAAGAAUAUCCUUAAGUACUUAAGAAAAACUAAGGAUACGUUCCUAAUAUAUGGAGGUGAGAAAGAGUUAAGUGUAAAAGGUUACACUGAUGAUAGCUUCCAAACCGAUAAUGACGAUUCUCGAUCACAAUCAGCUUUUGUGUUUUGCCUUAAUGGUGGUGCUAUGAGCUGGAAGAGUUCAAAGCAAAGUACAAUAGCCGAUUCUACAAUGGAGGGCAAGUAUAUUGCAGCCAGUGAGGCAGCAAAAGAAGCGGUUUGGAUCAAAAAGUUCAUUACUGAACUAGAGGUUGUGCCUAGCAUAUCAGAUGCUAUAGAACUCUGAUGUGAUAACAAUGGAGCCAUUUCACAAGCUAAAGAACCUAGAUCUCACCAGUGAUCUAAACAUAUACUUAGGCGCUACCAUCUUAUUCGAGAGAUUAUCGAUCGAGAGGAUGUAGAGAUAUGCAGAGUACCUACAGAUAAUAACAUUGCUGAUCCCUUGACCAAGCCUCUGACACAGCAGAAGCAUGAUCGUCACACUAAGUCACUUGGUAUUAGAUAUAUGAGUGAUUGGUCUUAGUGCUAGUGGGAGAUUGUUAGAGUAUGCCCAAAGAUCAAUCAUGAGAUGGUUGUAAUAACAUACUUGAUUUAUCAUGUUUAUUAAUAUAAGGCAUUACCAUUAUUAUUCAGUUUCUUUUCUGUGUGUUUAAAUAAACUGUUUUAUAAUAAUGUCCUGAGAAUAAUAUGAUUAUUCUUAAAAGGUCCUUAGUCAAGUAUUAUUGUAGGCUAGGACAACAAUAAUGCAUUAACACUAACAUGUAGUUGAUUGAUGAUAAAGAGUUGUCAUUGAUAUGGAGUGUCAAAAUCAAUGCAUGAAUAUGUAUGUUAAAGAACAAAAUAUUGGACUGGCCCAUUAUGAGUAUGUUUCUUGGAUUAUUAUGUAAUUGUCACAACAUUACUCAUAGUGAUUAAAUCUAUAUGAUCCUCAGACUUGAGAUCAUCAUUAUCCCAACAUAGUGUGUUGUAUAUUUUGAUACAGUCAAACGUACACCGUAACUGGUUGUUCUAUAAAAGCUAAUGUUGGAUAUACCACGAUCUAUGUCGAGGGAUAUGGUUGAUCAAUAUAGGAUAGGUCCCUCCUACAUAAUGGGAGUAAUAUCUUAGGCCACUUGAUUGAGUGAGAUUAGUUAUGCAUGGUCAUGCUCAAAUAAGAUGAUAUGAGAUGUCGUACUUAUUUGUAUAUCAUAGUCUACUCAAGAUAUCAAGGAACAUGGGAUGGACUAUGCAAGUGUGACUAUUCCAUGACUUGUGUACAACCCAGAGAUAAAGGACUUAAGGAUUAAUGCAUGAAAGGUUAAUCGCAAAAAGGUUAUGUCGAAUCAUGAUUUCUUGUGACUUAGGUAGCAAUGAUGCAUUGCUAGGUGCCACUCAUUGUUUGUAACAUUGGAAUCGUUCUAAUAUUACUGCUAACGUUACAAGAACCUACAGGGUCACACCCUAUAGUUGAAAUGAACGGAAUAAAACAUAGUUGGUAUUAUGUUUGGUUGUCGCUUGAAUUAAAUUAAUUAUAGAAUUAAUUUAAUUGGGAAAUAAAAUAUCAAAUACAUUAUAUGUACAAGGUUAUUGUACACAUAAUGAGAACGUUGUUAUAUUUAUUUAAUUUUGGGUUCGUAUAUAAAUUCAAAUAAAUAUAUAGUUUACCGAAAUCAUUAUUAUAAUUAAUGUAAUUAUAAUUUUCGGUUUAAAAUUAAUAUAUUUAUUUAAUUUUGAAAACCCUAAAAAAGAGAUAUAAAAAAUCUCGUUUUAUUUGCUUGGUGAGUCUAGCAGCCGUCAAAGCAAAGUCUUCUCCAAAACUAUUUGGGGAUUCCUUCCGUUCAUAGUCAACUGGGUGGAUUACAUAGAGGUCGGAGUCAUCAAAGAAUGCGACUUGGUUCGACAGUAGAUCUAAUUACUCAUUGCCGAGGCGUCGUUGUCUACUCAGAAUCAUAUUCGGUAAUUUCGAAACCCUUUUUCACCCCGAUUCGUUCCUCACACUUGGAUCCAUGGUUAGGAUCGUCUGGUUUUUAUUUUUCCGCUGCGCCGUAGGGGUGCCGGCGUUGCAACACGAGAAUCAUACCCAAGGUUGUGAGCACUAAAUUAAUCUUAACUUAAACAUAACUAAAUCUAAUUAAUACUUUAAUCAGGUUAUAGUACGAAUAAUUUAAAGAAGAGUUUUUUAUAAAUUAUUUUAAUAAUAGGUAAGAACAUAAAAGAAAACUGAGUAAAUGAAAAACAAGAAAUCAAAUAAGAAAAUAUAUGCCAAAUCUGGCAUGGAUGACUAGCUCGCUUUUGUAAUUCCAACCAACUAUUGUCUCUGGCUUUCUUUUUCAAUCAACUAGCAAAUAUCCCAGCAAGAUCUUCUGAUAUGUCCAUUAAAAUAUUGAGUCGGUAGGGACAACUUAUCUUCCUACCUCACAGUCUAAACCGAUUCAGGGUUAAUGUGUUCACAUAUAGGCCAUACCAAAUUUGGGUUAAUUCCUAUCUUGAUGAAUUCCUAGGAUUGUCUGGCCAAGGGUUUAGGUUCUUCUUGUCUUGAACAACUAAUCCUUUAAGAAAUCACUACAAAAUAUUAAUUAUUCAUACCUUCACUCGCUAAUCCUCCAUAGGAGGAGUACUUCUUCAUGGAUCUAGUAAACAAUCUAAACUUGAAUGAAAUAUUGAACAUAAAGAACAGUUUUAAGAAUAAACUUUAGAAGAAGCCUGGUUGUAUUGAAUUUAAGCGCAGAAUCCUCACAGAGUUUGAGAAUAAUUUCAUAAUCUGAUUUCUCCCCAAAAAAUCAAUAACAAGAAAGCAAUAAAAUCUAAAACCUAAGAAAAAAAACUAAAGACUAAAACUAAAGAGAAAAUUAUAUAAUAGAAAGAGAUUUCCAUAACAUGUGUUAGGUAAGCCUAUUUAUAGAUUUAGGAUGGUCGUCGUCCUUCACCCUAGGUCAACUAACAUUCUCAAGCUUAAAGUUGGAUUGUGCUGACCAAAAUGCCCCUAACUCGUAUUAAUUUCCAGUGCAGAGGUGAUGUCACAACACACCAAGUCCUGUGUCGUGACAUCAAGGGCAAUAUGUUCAGCCUCAGGGUGUCUUCAAGGGUAUAUCACAACAUUGAAGGAAGUCUGGGGCUUCUUUAGUUCUACUCCCUAUGUUGUGACAUCUAAUGCUCUGUGUUGCAACCUGGCUACUAGUAUUGAGUUAAUACACCUUAUAAUGGUCCCAUACACACUCAGUAAACAUAUUAGCUCACCCUUGGUCCUCAUCUGGCCUUUAAGGUCAAUAAAAAACUCGAAUAACACGUUUUAUUCCACUUAACUAACUUGCUAAAAUGUAAUUAAAACAUAACUAAAAUUAUUAUAUUCAAGCUCCCAAACUGCGAAAACUAUUUUAAUCUGCUACAUCGAAUUACGAUAAAUCAAACUCCCCCACACUUAAUUCAUUACUUGUCCUCAAGAAAUACAAACAAAAACAGUAAAUGGAAAGACGACCCUUGAGCAAGUAUGGUACAAGUGUUAGCUUUGGAGCACAUGAAUAGGUAUUUCAUAUUCACAUAUAAUCUUGGCAUGAGAUAUAACUGACUUACCACUUGUGAUAUUAGACACCUAAGUUUAGUAUAUUACAAAACAUACAAGCUUUAAGGGUCUUAAAUGUGGGAAUCCAUCAAUAGAUUAUACCUACCUAGAUCACAUAGGACUUUUCGACUUGUAACAUUCUGAGGCUUAGUAUGGAUUUUAAGAAUAGUAAGCAUCAAAUACUUUUAAGCACGAAAAUAGUUUGACACAUCAUAUUGUCCCCUAUUCUCCCCCUUAGUAACCCUUUCCCGCUCACCUCCUUAUGUCUCUUUCUCUCACCUUCCUUAUUUCUCCGUAUAGGAAGUCAUAACGUAAUAUAACAAUCACGGUUAGUCUAUGAGCUUUUGUGCACUAAUGAAUGAGCUUUUCUACUUUUGUAACUUUGUCACAUUUUUUUUCUUUUUAAAUAUGUCUCACUCACAAGUGCUCUUACUUUUCAACUACUAUUUCUACUCAUUUUGAUUUUAUUUUUUUGAAAUUUUCUUUUUGUUGCACAUAUUAGCUAACUUAUAAUUACUAUAUCAUAUUGAUUCCUCCUAUUUCACUCUAUUUUUACAAAAUCCACCAUAAUGUAUCUACUUAACCCUUAAUACGAAUGGCCAAACGUCUAUAGUUAUACAGUUUAGAACCAAUGAAAAAGUAUAAGUACAAAUUUAUAUUUUGGCUCAGAUUUUAUAUAAAGGUUCAUCAAGAAGUGUUUUCUUGCUCAAAAAUAGGUACUAAAGAUAGAUAACAUGGUUAGCUUUUUGGCUCUGGGUGUAUUCCAAACAAUGCCUUAGGUCAUCCCUAGGUAUCUCAAUAUCCACAACUCUAGUCAACCAAACAACCACAAAUUCAACAAUUUAUCAUUCAUACUAACAUGUCUGUUUCCUUAUAUUCUCUAUAUCAUUUGGUACAUUCAAUUGUUUUAAUGCCUAUUUACAGUGUAAUAUAUAGAACUUAAUAGUCUAAUAAUCAAAAGUCUAGAAUCACCUAUACUCAUGCCAAUUUAUUGUAAAUACAAUCAACCUAUGUACAUACUCCUAACCAAUCACUUGUAUUUCUACAAGCUCAAGCACACGGAUGACAAAAAAUCAAAGAAAAGAAUAAAAAUUCAAAAACAUAUUUUCUAUCUUACCCCCUACACUUUAGAUAACAAAUUUUCCUCAAUGUGUAGCCCUUAAAAAGAUAAAGAAAGAAGUUACCCAAUUUAUUGUGAUAGUUCUAUAGGCUAUUGGUGGGUGCUUCCUCUAUUGCUUAUUGAAAGCUCUAAUUAUUGUGCCUCCUCCAUGUGGGGUUCCUACAUAGAGAAUUAGAACAAUACACAGAACCACUAAUAAUCUACUAUUAAUCCUACUCCAAAGAAAAAUCAAAUUAAAAUCAUCUAAGAAUUAAUACAAUCUUUAAAAAUAAAACCUUAACAAGGUUCAAUCAUCCUCCUCAAAAUCCAUCAUUUCCUCUCCUUCCUCUUUGCUUUCAUGCGCCUCUUCCUCCUACUCAAGAUGUGUGGCCUAAACAUGUCUGGUGUAUGACUAGGUACCAUAAUAUUGUUCUAUAGUGCAAACUCCUAAAAGAUUGGGCUCGAUUCUUGCAUCCAACGUAUCAUCCAAGAAAGUUUUGGAUGACUACUCUCUCUCCAACUUCUUGUUGAGCGGUUGGUUUUGCUCUCCUUUGAGACAAAGCCAAAGUUUUUGUCACCACUUGUUGGUGUUUUUUCCACUUUUUUAUCUGAUUUGCCCAAGUUCAACGUAUUGUGUAAAUAAAGUGUCACCAAUGAUGCUUUGGGAUGGCUUCAUUGAUUGUUCUGUGGACAUCAUUGGAAUGCCUAUUUUUUUGCAUAAGGCCACCACUAAGUGAGGGAAUAAAACUCCUACUUUUUGGUCACUAACACAUCUCUUCAGAUUUUGGUAAAUCCAUUUCCCAAUGCAUAUUUGUUUUUUCUGUAAAAUAGCAUAAAGGACAAUCGCUCAAACAGUAUUUACAUUAGAUACAUUUAAAGUAGGAACAACUCGUGUGCAUAAAAAUUAAAUUUACAUUUUAGCUUCAGGAAACAUUAUAGCUUGAUAAAAGGAGGUUAGGAUGUUGGUACCUAGGCGAUAUUUUCAUUUGCCCCCUCCUUCAGUUAAAAAGUUUAUAAUGUUAUCCAUAUCAAUGUCUCGAAAAUACUCUAAAUCAGUUUCACCAAUAAAAUAUUUUUUAUAGUAUAGGGCAUUAUAAAAAACACAAAUAAUUCAAGGGGUUACACGCACUUCUUUCCCUGGCACAGGUACAGUUUUCCACAUAUGACCUUUAAGAUUUCUAGACUCUUGGUCCCAUAAGAAUGCAUAAAAUUCAUGAACAACAGGGACCAUAGUGAUGUCUUUGGGGAUCGUCCAAAAAUUUUCCCAUCUAUGAUAUCUAACCAAAGGUCGUAUUUCCUUACAAAGAAUCAUUGACGAAUCAAAUCCCCUAUCUUGGAUAAAGAUUUUCCCUUGAAUUUCAGCAAAAUAUUUUUUGGGUUUGGAAAAUUAGAGGGGUUUGGAACUGUCGGUGAUUUUGGUCCAUUAGUUGUUCAAACUUUUCUAGGAGGCAUGAUGUAUUAGUUUUACUAACUAAUGAAAUAUCAAGAAAUUAUGUUCAAUGGAACAGUAAAAGUUGAGUUAGGAACCCUUAACCUCGUAUAAGUCAUUAGAUUCCUCAUCACAUUUGUUUGUUCAUUUUUCCCUCAGAUGCUCUCAUUCCUUCCUGUAUUGAGUAAGCUUUGAAAGAAUAAAUUUUCCCAACAAAUCAAAAAGAGAAAGAGAAAAGUGAGUUUUAGGGUUUAAAGGAUUUAAUAGGUUUUGAGAGAUUAAAAGUAUUAAGAGAUGUUUAAAUAAUUGAACAAUAUGUAUUUAGAUUAUAAAAUAGGUAUUUUGAAGGUUAAAAAUUGGGUAAAGUAGGGUUUAAGUCAUCGGGUUGCGCAAAUGGGUCAGGUUAACCCUGUAGAAAAUUGCAGCAAUGUCGUGACACAAGGGUUUCGUGUCGCAACAUCCCUAAUAGUUUACCUUUGUCGCAACAACGGCGUUCGUUGUUGUGACACACUCUAGACUUUUGGAUUUUUAGGUAUAUUGUUUUCAUUAUCGCGACACAUAAAUUCCAUGUCACAACAUCAAAGUGAUUUCCUUAAUUCCAUCAAAUCUUCUUUUAGUGUUGCGACAGAGCUUACCGUGUUGUGACAUUGGCUCUGUUUUCACCAUAAAUUCCAAUUUCUAAAGUGUUACGAGUUCUAUAAAACAUAAAGCUAAUAAAACUUAAAUUUUAUACUAAAAAUUUAUCUAAAUAUUUAAUAAUUUACAAAAGGUUAAAAAUUAAUUCAAAUAAUUUAAGUUUUACUGCCAGAUUCAUCUGACAGCAUCAUUGUUUUUCAAAAUGACUAUUCUCUAGUUCAUCAGUAUAGGUCCAUCACCCAUCAUGCCACUCCACCUUUGUUCACUUAUCCCUUUAUUUGAACUUGUUUUUUCAACCUGCAUGGAUUAGAGGAAAUACAUCCCUUGACUCGAGAUUGUUAAAAAUAGAUAGUUCAUUGCAAUGCUCCCCUAACUUCCUUAUACCACAUUUAAAGAUUUUAGUCUCACCAUUGGUUUUCAUGGUUAAUUCAUUUUUUUUCUAAAUCAACGGGAGACCUAAAGGUGGCUAGAAAUGGUCUACCUCACAAGACCGGUAUCUCUCAAUGUUUUCAAAAUCUAGAGCGAUGAAAUCUGUCGGAAUUAUAAAGCUGCGCACUUUGACUAACACAUCUUCCAGUAUUCCUUUCGGAUGCACUAAGGAUCUGUCGGCCAAUUGUAGUGUUAUCUGGGUAUUUUUUAGGUCCCCUAACCUGAGUUUUUCAAAAGAUGGAUAGAGGCAAUAAAUUAAUAAUAGCUCCUAGAUGACAUAGAGCUCUAUUAAAAUGAACGCUCUCUAUCUCUAUGGGAAUAGUAAAACUUCCCAAGUCUUUCAGUUUUUGAGGAACCUAUCUCAAAAUAAUAGCACUACAAGAAGCAUUUAUAUUAACUUGUUCACCUACCUUAAUCUUCCUACACCUAGACAUAAUUUCCUUUAAAAACUUGGCUUACUUAGGAACUUUCUUAAUCAAUUCAAUCAAGGGCAAGUUAACAUUUAGCGUUUUGAACAAGUUCAGAAAACUUACAUACUCGUCUUCAUCCUACUUUUUCUUCUCUUCUAGUCUUGCAAGAAACGAUAUUUUUGCAACAGCAGAAUGUUUGGUUAUUUCCAUCUUUAGCUCAACUGCCAGUGCAACUUCUUCCUCUGGUUAAGGUUCAUUGUCCGCUUUUAGGGAUCUUUCAUUGUCCGCUUCUAGGGAUCUUUCUUGAAUACUGUCAUUAUUCUCCAUAUUUACCUCCUAAUUUGGGUUUUCUGGGCUACUCAGUACUUUACCUGAUCGGAGCGCUAUUGCUUUUACGUGCUCAUUCCCUUCUCUGGGACAUGUUUUUUCGGUAUUACUAGGAAUACCUAUUCUAAUUUUCCUUUUUAUAUCCUAUAUCAUGCUCAUGAAUUGGCUCAUCUGAUCUUCCAAUUUAGUCAAUGUUCUUGUUGAAUUAGUGCACUCAGACUGCACAUGUUUCACAUUCGUUCUCAUUAGCUACAUCUCCCCCUCUAUUUUAUCCAAACGUUAACCACAUACAGUAUGGUCAUUUAGGUUGGCCCUUUCUUGAGGUUUAUGCAAAUAAAGAGGUUGAUAGUUAGUGUUAUUAACUGGGUUAGAACUAUUACCUUCUUCUUGGUUUCCUCCUCAUCUCAGGUUCGGAUGAUCUUUCCAUCUGAGAUUGUAUGUAUUUGAAUAUGAAUUCCCACCCCUAUUCUUGAUGUAGUUCACAUCCUCGGUAGGAUUGUUAAUAUAAUGAAAAAGUGGUUUGUAUCCUCUAUAGAUAGAUGAUGCACUCUUCUCAGCCUCUAUUUGGUUGAUUAUGUUCACUAUUUGUUGAUAUCUACCAUCCUCCUUAACAACCUUCACUGUAGAUGGUAUUUGGUCGUAUGUAUAUCUUUUAGUUGGCCAUUGGUAGGAAUUCAUUACCAUACAUUUUAUCAAUUCGUAUACAUCCUUGUACGUGUUCAUUAAAGCUCAUAUUGCUGCUCCAUUUAAAACUAACCUCUAAUGCACAUCUAACUCGUUGUAAAAAAUUUGUAUUUGUAACCACUCAAGCAAUCCGUGGUGUGGGCACUAAUGAAUUAGCAUCUUAAAAUGCUCCAUGCUUCGUGAAGCUUUCCCCCUCUAACUAUUUGAACAUAAAAAAUUUCCCUUCUUAGUUAGAUCGUCUUGUUAAUGGGGAAGAACUUUUGUAGGAAUUUCCUUGCAAAUUCAUCCCAUGUCGUGAUUGAUCUCGAUGCCUGCAAAUCUAGCCAAGAAAAAGCAUUAUCGAUCAAUGAAAAGGGGAACAACUAAAGACGAAUAGCGUCAUUAAUGACCCCAUUGUUCUUAAAGGUAUCACAAAGCUAGAGGAACCAUUUUAAAUGCUGUCUCAGAUCUUCUGUCAUUGUUCCAUGAAACUGCAAAUUAUUCUGGGUCAUAGCUGGCUUUAUUUCAAAAUUAGUGGUCGUGAUAGCUGGCCUCAUUAUACUCCAUUGAACCAUAUCCAGAUUCGAUAAUGUGUACUCCCUUAAAGUCCUCUCAUUACGUGCCAUGUAUAGAUUUACGAGUAGCUUCAGUAGUGGUGGCGGUGGAUCUUCAAGAUUGUUAGCCUCGUCAAACAACAGCUUCUCACAUGGUGACAAACUCCCUUUAGCAGGUAACUGAUUCUGUAUUGGCUGCUGCUAAUAUUGCUGUCGACGAUUUUCUUGAAUUAUUCUCUCAGGAUCUGUGACUGUUCUAUAGGUGUUCCCCUAAUAUUAGUCAGACACUAAACCCAAAAAGAUAAUAUUAGUAAAAAAACAAGAAAAUUAAAUUCGUAACUGUAACCUAAAAAUUUCCUAAUUAUUCUACUAGUAUGCAAAAAUUAAGACCAUUAUAGCGGCGUUGCAUCCCCAGCAAGGGCAUCAACAACUUGAUCGCCUUCAGACAUACCAACGUCUAGAGUAGAAUUUCUACACAAAAGAUGUGAAAAAAUGGUAUCUGCAAGUAUACGGGUAAGGUUAUAAUAUAGUUACAACAGAAUAGGUAAGUACUCAGAGAAUCGUACCCAAAGGAGGUGAGCACUAAUUUAAUCUUAACUUAAACAUAACUAGAUCUAAUUAAUACUCUAAUCAGUUUAUAGUACGAAGAAUUUAAAGAUGAGAUUUUGAUAAAAGUAUACUAAUAGUAGGCACGAACAUAAAAGAAAACUAAAUAAAGUAAAAUCAAGAAACCAAAUAAUAGAAUAUAUAUCAAAUCUAGCAUGGGUGAUUAGCUCACAUUGGUAAUUCUAUCUAACUGUCAUCUCAGGCUUUAUUUUUUAAUCAACUAGUCAAUAUCCCAUCAAGAUCUUUCGAUACAUCCACUGAAAUACUGAGUCGGUAGGGACUACUUAUCCUCCGACCUCAAGUCCAAUACGGUUUUGGGUUAAGGUUUUCACGAAUGAGUCAUACCAAUUUUAGGUUAAUUCUCACCUUGAUGACUUCCUAGGGUUGUCAGACCUAGGGUUUAGGUUAUUCCUAUCCUGAACAGCUGAUCCAUUAAGAAAUCCCUACAAAAUAAUUAAUUAGUCACACCUUCACUUGCUAAUCCCCCACAAGAGGAUUAGUUCCUCAUGGAUCUGGUAACCAAUAUAAACUUGAAUGAAAGAUCAAGCAUAAAGAAUAGUUUCAAGAAUAUAGUUUAGAAAAAGCCUAAUUGUAUUGAAUUUAAGCAUAGAAUCUUCACAAAGUUUGAGAAUAUUUUCAGAAUCUGAUUUCUCCCCAAAGAAUAAAUAACAAGAAAGGAAUACAAUCUAAAACCUAAGAAAAAGGAAAAACAAAAGACUAAAACUAAAACUAAAACUAAAACUAAAAAGAAAAUUAUACAAUAGAAGGAGAUGUCCAUAACAUGUGUUAGCUAAGCCUAUUUAUAGAUUAACAGCCACCGUCCUUAACCCUAGGUCAGCUGACAUUCUCAAGCUUAAAGUUGGAUUGUGCAGACUAAAAUGCCCCUGGCUCGUAUUAAUUUCCCGUGCAGAGGCAAAGUCACGACACACCAGGUCCUAUGUCAUGACAUUGAAGGCAAUAUGUUUAGCUUCAGGGUGUCCUUAAGGGUAUGUCGCGACAUCCUCAGGCUGUGUCACGACAUUGAAGGCAUUCUUGGGCUUCUUUAGUUCCACUCCGUAUGUUGCGACAUCUAAUGCUCUGUGUUACAACUUAGCAACCAGUAUUCAGUUAAUACACCUUCUAAUGGUCUCCUACACACUCACAACACAUAUUAGGGCACUUUUAGGCCUCAUCCGGCCUCUAAGGCCAAUAAAAGAUCGAAUAACACAUUUUAUUCCAUUUAACUAACUUAAUGAAAUGUAAUUAAACCGUAACUAAAAUGCUUAUAUUCAUUCUCCCAAAGUGCAAAAACUAGUUUAUUCUGCUAAACUAAAUUAUAGCAGAUCACUCGCGAAAAGAAUGUUUUACGAAAUAAGAGGGUUCCGUUGGUUAAGGUUUUGUGGCACAACCACAAGACAAAAGAGGCUACUUGGGAAGCUGAAGAUGCAAUGAAAUGAAAAUAUCCUUAUUUGAUUAGCUUAGGUAAAUUUUAAGGAUGAAAUUUUAUUUAGAGGGGGAAAGUUGUCACGCCCCAAAACUGGGCCAAGCAUCUUUUAGGGUAAUUUAGGGAUUUUAGCUCAAAUGUGUUUGAAAAUUUGAAACAUGGUAAAUCGAAAAUGUCUUCGUCUAUGAAUUUUAGAAAAUUAAAUCAAAUUUUGAAAAUGAUGAACAAAAUACCUUUAAUUUUGAAUAGAGGACUAUUUUGAACAAGGGGUUAAAGUUAGGAAUACCAAAAGGGUAAAUUUACCAAAUUUUAAAAAUUGACCUAUUUCUUCUGCCCACCUACAACAAAACUCAUGAAAACAUAUUUCCCUCACCCUUGCUACCAUCCCCUUACUUUCAUAAACACCAUUCAUUCAAUUUGAUUGUCCAAACUUUAAUUCUCUUGAUUUCUACCACCUUCCAAGUGUUAAAUCUUCCUAGAAUUUCAAGAAAAACUCCAUUAAUUUUGUCAUCUCUCGAACUUGUGGAUUUUUCUCGGAUUUGCACCAAAUGUUUGUUUUUCUCUCAUCAAGGGUAAUAAUUCAUUUUCCUAUUAGUUUUCGAUGAUAUCUAGCCUUUUAAAUCAAGUUUCUAUCUAUUGAAUUGAAAGUUUUAAACAAAUAUCGAAAAUUGGGUUGUUAAUGGUGAAAUUCGAGAUUUUAAAUGAAAACGAUGUUUCAAAUUUUUUUUCAAGUUAUUUUAAAAUGAUUAGAAGGUUCUAAACUUUCCUUAAAGUUUCAUUAAAUAAUUCUAAGGUUUUAUUGAAUUUUCGUGUAAAAUGCCAUUGUAUGUCGAAAUUUCAGAACUAUGAAUCUGAGUAGUUUGAGUAGUUUAAAGGUUGUUAAUUAUUCUUAGAUGUAUUAUAAGGUGAUUGUAAUCAGUUUUAUGCAAUGAGAAUGAAUAGGUGUUGUGAUUUUUGUGUUUCGACUAAGCUAGUCUAAAUUUUAGUUUCAUGAAGAACUAGCUUAGGCUUAUGUCUCUGGUUGAUUUAGGUGGGUCUAUAGUUGAAUGUUAAUUGUUUUUAUUGUGUGAUUUACUUUGGUGAAGCUUCAGAGUCAUUAGAACCUUCUUCGACUAAAGCGAAAGGUAAGGAAAAGUUGGUUUAAGCUAUCGGCAUCUAGGUAAAAAAGUGAAAGGUAAGGAAAAGUUGGUUUAACCUUCUUUGAGGGUGAUUAUUGGGAGCUUAUGAGUAGCCUAAAUCCCUACUCUAUGUUUCGAGUGUAAGCUUUCUUAUACCUUUGUUUAAUUUGCGAAAUAUGUGAUUAUGUGUUAUGGAAUUGAGAAUUAAGAUGUGACAUGUGAAAUAUGUUGGGAUGGCUAUUAAGAAUGUGAUAAUUGUGGGUAUCUUAUACAUACCGAUUGACAGUGAUAAUAUUGUGCUUAUAUUGUGAACGUGCAAUGAAAAGGUACAGUAAAUGACAAGUAAAAUGUAUAUAUAAUUGUGGAUAUUUUGGCCUUGUGAUCUUUGAGACCGUUAGAUAUAGUUGGCAUGCCAUAGUAUUUGUGGGUACUCACCCAUGUGUUGUGUUUUUGGGGCAUUAAGGCCCAGGACAGUUUUGGAGAGAUAAGGGAAUGUGAGCUCGACUCCAUUCACCGGGAUAUGUUGGUGUGCUGGAGAGUGUUAGCUAAAUGCAACGCUUUUAGGAUAUGUUCGACUCAUCGAGUUAAUGGUGUGUUGGAGAUCCGUGUAUCCGAUGUAUGGUGGUAGAGCCCACUUUUAUGUUUCAUAGCCUUAAGUGCCAAAUUAUCAUUAAAUGUGAUUUUGUAAAAUGUGAUAUUAUGGUAUGUGAUGUAUGCAUGUGAAUAAUAAGUUAAAUAAGUUGAUAAAUAUUGCGUGAAUAUGUUAGCAUGUCAUCAUAGUAAAUCACGUAUAUAAUUGUGCUUUGGUUGUUUUUGUUUAAUGUGUGAAUGCAUGUCUAUUUGGUGGUUAUUCUGAUCAUUCACUGAGCUUGUUUAAGCUCACCCACUAUUUUUAAACCUUUGCAGGUAGUUAGCAUUGCAGUAUGAGCGGUGCAAAAAUUCCAAGAAAGUGAUCCAAGUUAGAUUUAUUGCUUGAGUAGGUGAUUUUUAUAGCUAUUGUUUGAAUUAUGGGAAUAAGGCAAUUUGAUAGAUUUGCUGGUUGACUAUUUUCAUGAUGUUUUAGAUGAUAUCUUAACUUUAUUACUCGUAGAAACUAUGGACGUUUGUAAUUAGUUCUUUAGUUUUCUUAGCUUAAAUUAAUGAUGACACAUUGAACUACAAAUUUUGAUACUUCUGAUGCUGAAUUUUGAGGUUAUAAAUGCAUGAUGAAUUGGUGUAAGUAUAGUUGUGUCAAAUGUCUUGUUUUGGUGUUAUUUUUGUUGUUUUGUGCAGAGGUAUCGAUAAUCGGCUAUCUAGUAUCAAUACCUCCAUGAUAAUUCAAAUGUGUAGAAAGUCAAUAGCUCAUUUUGGUAUCGAUACCAUUUCUCGAGUAUCGAUACUCGGGGUAAAAGUAUUGAUACUUUUUUAUCUGUAUCGAUAACUUGUUGGGUUUUAAUCUUUGCAGAGAAACAUAAUACUAAAAAGAUCUCUUGGAAAUUUUUGUUCAAUGGUCUUUAAGUAUGCUUCUAACUUGUUAUAUGGUCGUUCAAUGUUUUAGUAUAAUUUAAUGUCGCCUAGGGUAUUCUUUUACUUAAAUCACCUAUAUUCGAUUAAACAUGAUGAUGUUUGCAUGCUAAUAAUGUAACACAUCUAACCCGUAUCUAUCGUAGGAAUAGGGUUACAGAGCAUUACCGUAAAAACAAAUCUUUCACACAUUCAUCUCAUACAUCAACCUAAACAAAGCAUAAAUCAUUCAUUUACAUGCAUAUCGUCCCUUAAUCGAGCCUUCAAGGCCUUAAAAUAUUUUAAAAAUAAUUCGGGACUAAAUUGGAAACAUUUGGAACAUUUAAGAAAAAGUUGGAAAAAUUGAAAUAGGGGUCACACGGCCGUGUGAGUCACACAGCUGAGACACACGCCCGUAUCUCAGGCCAUGUAGCAAUCAAAAUAGGGACACAUGACCGUGUCCCAGCCCGUGUUCGUGCCCGUGUAACUCUUUGAGUUAGGUCACAUGGCCAAGCCACACGCCCAUGUGCCAGGUCCUGUAACUCUCGAAAUAGCCAUACACAACCAUGUGCCAGGCCGUGUAACAUCCUGACUUGCAUACAUUAAACCUACAGGAGACAUACAGUCAUGUCGCCUGGUCGUGUGUCACACAUGGUUGAGUCACACGCUCGUGUCUCAAGCCUUGUGGACAUGAAUUUGCCCAAUAACAAGCCAAUUCCAUCACCAAUUCAAGCAUGUACUUAAAAGCAUUUUGAGCACAUAACCAAAGCAUCAAAACCUUACCAAAACAUGCAUAUAAUGACCAAUGUAAUGAUCCCAAAUCAAUUAACCAAUAUGCCAAUCAAGGCACCUCAAAUGCAAACAUACAAACUUACCUAAACAUAUGUAUAUAUUUGGCCACAUUUCAUUCACAAACAUCUAGUUCAAUACCAUUUCCAAAACAUACCUUAACUUGACCAUGUUGAGAUCAAUUCAUCACAUACCACUUUAGCCAUUCAAACAUGCAUCAAUACAUUUCCAAAUUAACACAUACUAGUAAGGCAUUUAUAAGUACCAAAAUGACACUAACCAACCAACAUCGAAUGGUACCAAAAAACUUAUACAUGUAAAUAUCAUCAACUAACAUUCAAUUAAAUACCAAUACAAGUCCACCUAUACAUGCCAUUAUAACAUUGGCCAAAACAUCAAAAACUGCUGAUAUUUAUGCUAGAUAGUGUGAUAGAUCUCAAACGAGCUUCCAAACCGAUUAAGCUUCAAAUUAUCUAUAAAGUAAAAGAAAGUAAUUACAUAAGCAAUGAAUGCUUAGUAAGCUCGUAUAAACGUAAAACAUAAUAUUUCAUUUUAAUAAUGAACUUUAUAAGGUAAAUAUAAGUAAUUACAUAAGAAAUGAAUGCUUAGUAAGCUCGUAUAAACUUAAAACAUAAUAUUCCAUUUUAAUAAUGAACUUUAUAAGGUAAAUAUAAACCUAUACCAAUGCCACAAGAUAUAUCAAACUCUAUAACCAUCAACUCACAAAUGAGUAAGUCCAUCAACAUCACAUAUAUUUUUCAUUUCUAACAUAAUAGGAUUUUAAAAGACAUAAUACACAAGCAUGAACCUUUUCAUAAGACUAUGAACCAUUCUAUUUACUUACUUUCCAUUCCAUUUACUUAGCAUAAGCUUAAAUAGCAUUAUCACGUUACGAAUUAGUGUAUCUAUUCAUGACAUAUGUUCAUCCAUAGCAUAAGUAAAUUUCUCACAUAUAAGUACGUCAUUUAUUUCAUCAAUCCUUUUAUAUCAUCAUAUUACAUCUCAAUUAUGAACUUACUAUUUCAUUAACGUUUCUUACCCGUUUCAUUUGCAUAAUACAAGGCAUAAGCAUAAACAUCAACCAUAACCACAAGCUUGACACAAGCCUAAACAUCAUCAUUAAUACACAAGUUAGUGCAUUUAUACAUAACUCUUUUGGGAUCAACCACAUGAUAAGCCAUUUUAUAAGAAAAUACAUCUUUUGAUUCAUACCACCUUUUCAUGAACAUAAGCAUAUUUCCAUUUAGAAACUUACAAUUUCAAUCCUUUUCAUAAAUACAUGAUAUAGUUCAUUUGAACACUUACCGUUCCUUUCCUUUCCAUGCCCAUUGAACCAUUUAGAAUAAAAUUGGAUACACGAGAAAGCUCACACGAAGUGUUCUAAACAUAUAACCAUAACCUUUCCUUUUCCUUUUCCUUUUCCUUUACAUCGUUGCUCACACGACCUAUGAAAUGGGCCUGCUCACACAAGUUAUAGGCCGGAAUGUAAGCUACACGAUGCUGCUCACAUGAGCUGUGAAGUAUCAGCAACAAAUGUAGGACCUUAACCAUUGGUAGGGCAUUCAAGACCAGCACCCGAAACAUGAAAACCCUAACGACAUGUCAUUUGUAUCCUAUGAAUUCCUAAGGUUCAACCGGGACUUGAUAAUCAUCAAUUCGUCAAAAUUUGGGUACAUUCGUAUAUAUAUUGAUCCAUUUACAUUAAAAAACAUAAUGAAAAAUUUAUUUUACUAAAAUUAUAAUGAUUACAGUUCAUAUGAACUUACCUGGCUAAAUUGUGGAAAUGACUAAGUACAGGGGUUAUUUGGUAAUUUUCUCUUCUCCUCAAUUUUCCACUGGUUCUUGAUCUAAAUUAAUAAUUUCAUUCAAUUCAUUAAUUCAGACAGCAAAACCAUUUAUUUAACAUUUUACAAAAUUACCCCUAAUAUUUUACUUUUAUUCAAUUUAGUCCUUAAUCCUACAACAUGCAAAUUAACCAUUUUUACUAAAAUUUAAACUUAGCCGAAUUUAUUGGGACCAUACUACAGCCCAUAUUUUUUGUUUUUACACAUUAAAUCCUUCUACUUUUACUAUUUUAACAAUUUAAUCCCUACUCGUUAAAUUAAUCAAAAAUCACUUAACAAAAUACUUAUAAAUAACAACUAAUACUUCAAAUUCAUCAUUUAACAUCUAAAAUCACAAAGACUCAUCAAUGGAAACAUUCAAAAUUUUCAACAGUUUCAAAAGCGAAGGUACGGGCUAGAUGGACCUAGUUGCAACAAUUUCAAAAACAUAAAAAUCAUUAAAAACUAGGCAAAAACACCAUACCAUGCAUGAAAUUUCAGCAAGGUCAAAAGCUUCCUUCCUAUUUCCAUGGUGUUUCAGUUUUGUUUGAGAAAAAAACAAAAAGAUGAUAGCAUUUAGGCCUUUUUUUGUUUCUUUUAAUUCAUUUAAUUAUAAAAUUACAAAUUUGUCCAUUUAAAAAUCAACCAAAUUUCUAGAUUUUAAUUACCCAAAACCAUCCACCAACAAUUCAAUUGGUAUAAUUACCAAAUAAGUCCAAAAAAUCACAUUUUCAUAAAUAUUAGAAUAUUUAAUUAAUAGAAUUCAACUUUUGCAUCAUUUUCAAUUUCGUCCUUUUCACCUAAUUAACCCUUUAAACAUCAAAUUUCUUAACGAAACUUUAAUACAACCAUAAUAACACUCCGUAAAUAUUAAAUAAAAUAUUUAUGACUCAUUUUAUAGAAAUGACGUCUCGUUACCUCAUUUUUUAAAACCACUUGCCUUUAGGGUCUUACCACUUGAACAUAAUUGUUCUUCCAUUUAACACAAAUCAUUAAAUCAAAAUUUAUCAUUAUACUAUAUAUUACUCAUCAAUAUUAAGUAAUAAUAUUUACGGACUCAUACGUCAGAUUUGUGGCCCCGAAACCACUAUUCUGACAGUUUAGAGGAAUGGGUUGUUACAAAUAAGAAGUUAUGUAAUGUGUGUUGUUGUGACAGUGGUGUAGCGUCUUGAUACUUGGGCUCAGUGAUCGAGUUAGGUAUAGGGUGUUACACCCCAUAUUAUACCUAUUAUCAUUUAGAGCUUUUAGAUUUAUUCAUAUUCAAUGACUGAGGAUUUUGAUAUAGAGGGUAUAAUAGAUUCUUUGAUAAAAGGGCAUGGUGAGUGGACUCGCUAAGACAACUUCGAGGUGCCCCUGAAAUUUAACACGGUUAUCACGUUCAUGCUGGCCAAGAUGUGGGUGCGAUUCAUUUGGACCCACUUGGCACCAACUCAUAAUUCUUCUGACAUUACCACCUAUCGAGUCGUUAUGCUUUAUUCUAUAUUACAGAGAGAGCAUAUUUGAAUUGGCCACUAGACUUACGUGGAAAUGCUCAAGUGCAUACGGAGCCAAAAGUAAAGUACGUACUUCCCACAUUCGAUUACCACUUUAUGCCCUUGAGCUGACAUUCCCAUGUCCCUAAUUGAGCCAUUCACAAUACCUAUAAAGAGUGUGAUAUGGGAAAACCUAUACGUCCAGUUCAUCGAGCUCCAACAAAUGAAAAAUCGAGAGAAGGAGAAAAGAACUAAACAUAUGUCAAAGAUGACGGGACUCAAGGAUAUGUCCAUCUCGUAGUGGCAAACAUGAUGGAUGCAAUAUAUGGGCGACAUCCUGAUAAGCAUUGCGGAACAAAAUGGAUGGCCAACACCUACACCACUCUCGGACAUGUUCGAGUGGCUCCCAUCGCCAGGCGAGGAGGGCACCAAUGAUGAAGAUGAUGACGAUGAUAAGGAGGAGAAGACCCCGGUCCUGCCAUCAGAUUAUGAGUGAGUAUUUUGACCAGACUGCUCAUCGAUGAAAGGCGUAGUGAUUCGUGACCCAAGCCAUCACAGCCAGACCCAAACUUCAGGAAACUGGGCUACUAUCAAUGGGGCAUGAGAGGGGUGAGGCACCGAUGAUAGAGGAGUUGGACACUGAUUCUGACUAGUUCUGAAUAGUUUUAAAUUUUUAAUUUGGACUUUGUACUUUAGUUUUAUUUGGGAUGAUUUUUAAUUUUUUUAAGCUUUUAAUUAGUUAGGAUUUAGUAUUUUCUAUAUAUAUUUGUGUGUUUUUAAUUUUCCUUUGUAGGAACCCCACAAAAUUUUAAGGCACUACAAGAUCAAGCCAAACCGGAAUGAGGAGUAGUCUUCCCAAUUGUAUUGUACGAAUCAGGCCAAUCGUGUAAUCUCCUUCCUUUAUAUGUUUAUUGCACAUUAGGGAAAAUGUACCAAAUAAAGUGUGAGGGUGACUUGGAAAAUUUUUAAAAUUUUUCUAUUAUUUUUCUUUGUUUUUAGUAGUUUUAAAAUUUUUAUUUUUGCAUGUUUUCUAUGUGCUUGAGCUUGUAGAAAUACAAGUGAUUGGUUAGGAGCAUGUUAAUAGAAUUUUGAAUAAAUUUUAAAUUUAUUUUGAUUAUAAUUGAUUCUCAAUUUUCUAAUUUUAGACUACUUAGUUCAAUUUAGUACAUUGUGAAUAGAUUUAAGGUGUUAAGUAUACCACAAGAUAAAUAUGUAUAUAAAUAGCAUGCAUAUUUAAUUAAAUUAUAGGUUGUAGAAAUUGAUAGACUUGGCCAAUUUCAUCCAUGUAUAGAAGUACCUAGGGAUGACUUAAGGCAUUGUUUGGUAAACAAUUUUUCGAGCCAAAAAGCUAACCUUAUACAUAUUCUCCUUAGUACCUAAUUUGAGUCUGAACCCAUUUUCUUGGUGAACCAGAAAUAAAACCUUGAGCCUAAUAAAUAUUCUAUUUGAUCAUUUAUUUCUUGGUCCUUGCAUGGAUUUAGACGUCCAACCAUUGAUAUUGAGGGAUUAGGUAGAUACAGCAUGGUGGUUUCAAAAGAGAAAAAAAAUGGGUGAACUAAGGAAUUGUAUGGUAUAGUGAGUAUAAAAUUUAUUGAGCUUGUAGAAAAAUAAGGAAAAAUGCCAAUCAAGAAAAUCUCAAUGAAUAAAAGCAAAGUGAGUUGGAAAAAAGUGGGCUAACCUUUGUUCAAAAGAAAUAAGAGCACGGAUGAUUGUAUUAAUGAAUACUACAUGAUGCCUUAGUAAAUGGUGAAAUAAGAAAGGUGAAGAAAGUAGAUAUAAGGUGGUGCGCUACAUGUAUAUUCGAGGAAGUACCAUGGACAAUAUCAUGUGCCAAACUACUUUUGUCCUUAACUAUUUUUUCGAGCCUAUUCUUUGAAUUCCAAACCAACCUAAGCCGCAGAAUGUUACAAGUCGAAAAGUCCUAUGUGACUUAGGCUGUACAUUAUGUGGAUGAAAUUGUGUCAAGUUUUGAUGUUUUUACCACUUAUAUUCAUUUGAAUAUAAUUAUAUAUUUUUAUAUUUGUUUUUAUGGAAAGACAUACUUGACAUUCUUUUAUUUGUUUGCUUUGUAAUUUAGUGAACUAACCCGUCUAAUUUUAGAAAUUUUGAGUCAAUUGUAUAUCAUCCUAGAGUUAUAUGUUUAUUCACAUUAUCUUGUUAAUAUAUUUCAAUCUAAUUUCCUAUAUCAAUCUCGCUCAAAUACAUUUUAUUUUUCUUUCAUGUUUAUUUUCUAUUUUUAGUUUAGUUUGUUUUUUGUAACACCCCUAACCCGUAACCGUCGCCGGAAUAGGUUAAGAGGCAUUAUCGGACUUUCAACUCAGUUCAGAUCGGUAAUUCAUCAAACAUUUUACAAAUAUCAAACUAAUAUGAUUCAACCUCAUACCUAUCCUAAUAUCAAAUAACAUUCAAGCAUUUUCCAAUUCACCAACUCAUCACAUACCAAUAUUAUCAUAUGCAUCAAAUCCUUCAUAAGCAAACUUGCCAAAACAUAUCAUCUUAUACACAUUUGACCAUUAUAACAACUAAGCCAAAUCUUAUGGCUUAAGAACAUCAAAACACAUAACUAUACAAUAAGCUAAAGUAACCAAAAACAUAUUCCCAUAAACUAGCCUAUACAUGCCAUAUUUAUACAACUUCCAUGAGUUCAAAAGGUACCGAGAAAUCGACUGGAUAGUGUGAUGCUUAUCUCCGACGUCGUCCGAAUCGAACUAGCUAACGAACCUCUAUAAAACACGAAAAAAUAAACUGAGUAAGCAUUAAAGCUUAGUAAGUUGAUAUAUAAAUAAUUAGCAAUCUGUUAACAUGAUUUUACCAAUCCUUACAACAUGUUCUCAAGAUAAUACAAUCAAAAUUGCACAUAGUUCCACUAUUUACUCAUGUUCACUUCAAGCUGUCUACUCGAGUUAUAGUUACUAAAUUAUUUAUAUAUUGCGUUACAGAACUCCAAAUUAAGAUCUGCUUGAUUUUUCUGAAACUAGAAUUACAAAUCUUCUUACCAUAAAAUUUUUAGAAUUUUUGGUUUAGCCAAUAAGUACAGUUAAUUCUUCAAAUUCGUCCAUGUUCUACUGUCUGACAGUCCCGACCCUUCUUCUCUAAAAAUUAAUUAUCUUUUAGUACAGGAUUUGGAUGAUAUUUCCAUUUGUUUCUCAUGAAAAUAGAAUCAUUAAUAAUUUUAAUCAUAUAAAUUCUAACCCAUAAUUCUUCUUAUACAAUUUUUAAUGAUUUUCCAAAGUUAGAACAGGGGAUUCCAAAAUCAUUCUGAUCUUAUCUCACAAAAAUUCAAAUAUCUCAUAAUACGAGAUUCUUUUGCUCAAACCGUUUCUUUUAUGUGAAACUAUACUCAAUCAUCUUUAAUUUCAUGUCUUAGUCAACCUCUAAUAAGAUUUCCACAAUUUUUAUUGAUUUUUCAAAGUUAUACAACUGAUGUUGUCCAAAACUGUUUUAUUGCAAAUUUUACUCUUUCAUGAUUUUUUUCAUGCAUUUCAUAAAAUUUCGUUUACAGUUCCAUACGUUCCCAUAACACAUAUCAUAUUUCAUCUAUACAAUUCACAUAGAUCAUAUUCCAUUUCAUUCUCAAUCAUAUAAUCGGUAACAGUAUAAUGCCCGUUGAACCUAAUGAAACAUCGAAGGAUACUCGGGUGAUACACACUAUGUGCAUUAAUCGAUAAUCCAUCAAUUCAUUAUCAUUUUCGCUCUUUGGAGCCAUGAUCGGUAAGCUCAUUUCGAGUCCACAACAAAUGCAGGAGCUCGACGAAAACGGUAACCCUAGUGACAUGUCACUCGUAUUUUACAAUUUUCCAUAAUUCAAACGGGGCUCGAUAUUACUCAAUACAUUUCAAAUUAAACAAUUCAAUAUUUUUUAUUUCAACCAUUCAAUUCACAUAUAUAUACAUAUUCAUUUCAUACAAUUGCAAUUAAAUGAAAGUUCGAUUCUAAUUAUACGAACUUACCUCAAGUUGCUCGGAUUGACAUUAUCGACUAUUCGUCCGCUUUUCCUUUUUCCCGGUCUAAUCCCAAUCUCGACUUAUCUUGAUCUAUAUAUUAUCAAAAUUAGCUUAUUUAAUCAACUAUUUAUUCAAUUUAGUCCAAAACACACAUUAGGGCUAUUUUAAACAUUUCCCCUAAACUUUCACCUUUUCUCAAUUUAGUCCCUAUUUCAAAACAACACAAAAUACACAUAAUUUUAUUAAACCCAUGCUUGGAUGAAUCUUCCCUAGGCCCCUAGCAGCCCAUUAAUUUCAUUUUUUUCACAUUUCAACCCCUCAAUUUGUAAAUUUCACACAUAAAUCCCUAAUUUAGAUUUUCAUCAAAAAUCACUUUAUAAAAUAUGAUAAUCUAUCAACAAAUAUUUAUUUUUCAUCAUCAAAAAACAAAAAGCUUGAAUAUUCAUCAAUAGAAUUUCAUAAAAUAAUCAUCAAAUUCGAAAAUUAAGGCAUGGGCUAGCUAGAAUACAAAGCAACAAUCUCAAAAACGUAGAAAUCAUUAAAAAGGGAGAAAAAUGACUUACAUGCAAGCUAGAAUGCCAUGGCCGAACCUAGCAUGCUUCCAUGGUGUUUUUAUUCUUUGAUUUUCGAUGGUGAAGAUGGAAGAAAGAUGAAAUCUUUCUUUUCUUUAUCUUAUUUUAAUUACUUAUUUACUAAUUUACUUAAUUAACCUUGAUAUAUAACCUUUAAAAUCACUUAAUAAAUGUCAAUAUUUGUCCACUCAACAUGUCAAUGGUUUAAUUACAACAUAAACCCUUUAACCAUUUAAUUUCAUAGCUUUUAAAUCCCUUUAGCUUAUAGAACUCCAAUUUUGCACCUUUUACAAUUUAGUCCUUUUUAUCGAAUUAAGCAUACAAACGAUAAAAUUUCUUAACGAAAUUUUCAUAUGAUUCUACUAACAUGCUGUAAACAUUAAAAUAUUAAUAAAAUUAAUAUUUUAACUUUAGAUUUGUGGUCCCAAAACCACUGUUUUGAUUUGACCCAAAAACAUGUUACAUUUUUAGUUUUUUUUUUGUUUAGUUUGCUUGAGGACAGGCAAAAACUUAAGUGUUGGGGUAUUUGACCUGUCACCAAAUGUAGUAGUUAAUUCAGGUUAUUUCCACAUUUAAGGAGCUUGUAUUCUAGGAAAUUUAGUAUUUUAUAUUAUGUUUUUUGUAGUUAGUAGUUAGGAUUAAAUAUUAUUAAAAUAAUUUUUAACACAUUUUAUGAGUGUUGUGACCUAUUAGGCCGACACGGGCCUUAUGUAGUGCUAAUAUGUGUAAUUAAGUGUGUAUGAUGAUGAAUUAUAGGCCCAAUUACAGUGAGAGAAAGGGACAAGUGAAGCAAAAGCUUCCUGAGUCGUCAAGGCAUGAAACAAACCAUACAAGGCACAAAUCACAUGUUAUCUCGCGCCAUGAAAGGCUUAUUGCGUGACAUAGGUCAACGUGCUACCUAAGGAUACCAAGGCUAUUUUCAUCCACACAAUCGACUUUAUACGAAGACCUAGGACAUGUCGAAGACCUAAUUCGGGCUGCCAACACUCCUAUAAAUAAGACAUUAGGGGUUUGAUGUAACUAAGUCAUCUUAGACGCAAUCAAAAACCCUAGUAGUGUAGGAUUAUGAUUAGAUUUAGUUUCUUUUGGCUUUUUUAAACUCUUUGUUUUUCCUCUUGAAAUUGAUUUCAAUCUAAGAGUUCUUUUAUAUUAUUAAAGUAAUUUAAUUUAAUUCUUAUUUGCGAACGACAAUAUUUUUUAUUUCAAUCGAGAGAUUUACUACUCCGUUCUCCUAUCAACAUCGAAUUCAGGAUUAUGCUAAUCUCUUUUCUCUUCAAUUCAAUUAUGUUCUUUACAUGUUUUGUUAAAUUGAGAUUAAUAUUAUGAAUAACAUGAGUGGCUAAAUCCCUUAGGGGUGAUUAAUGAGUGGAUGGGGAUGUGAUUAACUAAGGAUUUAUGGUUUCCCAAGAGGAUUAGAUGGUAUAGAUUACACAUUCUUAAACCCUAGGCUUGACAACCUUAGGAAGUAAUCAUAGGUGAGACAAGAUUGGGAGAUAAGUUGAACCGAGUAAAUCGUAGAUAUCCUGGUUGAGAAAUUGAGUUUAGAAGAUAACCGAGUAUCAACCAAUCGAUUAAUUAGUUAGAGAUCAGGAGGUAAUAACUGGUUAAUCAGUAGCUAAUCCACCCUAAAACCCUAAUUUAAAGUUAAUUACAAACCCUGAAAUGAGUUAAUAUUCCUGAUUGGUUUUACUGAUUUAAGUGUUUGUUUAUUUUCUUAGUUAUUUAUUUAGUUAUUUAAUUUCUCUUAUUAGUCCCCUUUUUAUGAAACCACAACUAAAGAUGAUAUUUUUACACUUAAGAAAGCUAACAAGAAUAAAAUUUGUUAAAUACUUUGAAAAGAACUCAAAAUAGCAAGAGAAAGUUUUGCUUGUAAUUUCAAGAAAACUGACGUUACAGUAAAAAUGAAGAAACUAAUAGCCACUAACUAACUAAGCAAAGCAAGGAAACCCUAGAAAAUUAAAAAUGGUGAAAGGAAUAAAAGAGAAGACAAAAAUAUGAUAAAAGAACCCUUUUUUUGCACCCAAUAGCCUUUUAUACAGCAAAUUCUAUAACCCUAACAUUUGACAAGAAUGCCCUUAGAAAGAAGGAUUUUACUUAAGUUGAUGCUAGACACAAAAUUGCCCCUGCAGUAUUUUCACCCCGUCAAACUUCAAUGUUGUGAUAGCCAAGAUUUGGUGUCACAACAUCCUCGGUAGAAGGUACAAUCUUGGCAUAAGAAUUCUUGAAGCCUAGGUGGUGUCAUGACAUCCUCGACAGUGGUAUUAGGCUCCUUCACUUCAACCAUAAGCUCGGAGUCAUGACCUUGAAGCUUGUAGUUGAGACAUUUAGGGCUUAAUGUCGUGACACAAGACACUUAAUGUCGUGACACAAGACACUUAGUGUCGCGACUUCCAUGUCAAAUUGCUUCAGGUUGGUUUUGUUGGAUCUGGUGCCCUAAAUGUAGUAUUGUUUUCUAUAUACUGUUGUAUUUUUUUGAAUGGAUUGGUUUAUUAAGACCCCUAACCCGAAUCUGUCACCAGGACAAGGUUACAGAGUAUUACCGAAGUUUACAAUUUAAACUGACAGAAAAUUUCAAAUAUUUCAUAACAUAUAUCAUUCAUAUCAUAAACCAAUCAUAGUCAUGCAUUUUGUUCCUAAUACAAGCCCUCAAGGCCCAAAACACACUUUAGAAACAAAUUGGGACUAAAUUAGAAACUCAGAAAAUAUUUCAAAAACAUUUAAAAUUUUCAAAGCUACAGGGGUCACACGGCCGUGUGGUCAGGCCGUGUGGUUAAGCCAUGUGAGACACGCCCGUGUCUUAGGCCAUGUAGGCAUUCAAAAUAGGAACACACGUUCGUGCCUGUGUAACUCACUGACUUGUGCCACACGGCCAAGCCACACGCUCGUGUGUUAGGUGUGUGAGCAUACUGACUUGUGCUCUUAAAAGAUACAAGGGACACACAACCGUGUCACCUGGCCGUGUGUCACACACAGAUGAGACACAUGCCCGUGUCUCUACCCGUGUAGAUGAAAAUAGGUCAUUUUCCAAGACACGUUUCUCACUCAAAAAUGACAUCAACCUACUCCCAAAAAUGCACAUAUAUGCUAGCUAUAAUCAAGCAUCCCAAAAAAACCAUAAGCAAACUUUAAACAUGUAAUAUAAUCACAUACAACCAACAUGUCCUUAGCACCUCAAAUGAUAAUUUAAAAACAUCCCAACCAUGUGUCCAAACUUACCUAAAUGACCAACUACAUAUAUGUACAAUUGUACCAAAACCUAUCAUGUAGAUCACUUAUCAAGCUCACCCAUUCUAUACCAAAUAUACAUUCUAAAUCAAUCAUCAAUUCUAAAUCAAUCAUCAAUAUACCUAUAAGUUUUUCCAUAACAAAGCACUAAAUCACACCAAGGUAUAUAACAUAUCUUAUAUGCAUAUUCAAACCACAUUUGACUUUCCAUCAUUCUACCAUAUCAAACACACAUCAAAUAUGAUAAGGCUACAUAUAUAUAUAAAUCAAAAUAUACCAAACACAAGCCAAAUAAGUGGCUAAUCUCAACAAAACACUUAUAUGCCAACAUUGGCCAAAUUAACCUAUACAUGUCAUUAUAACCGAAAUUAAAUAACCAAAAGUACCAAAAGAGUCGAUGGAUAGUGUGAUAUAGCUCCGACAAGCUUUCAACCCAAACGAGCUUUCGAAUCACUAUAAAACACGGAAAAUAACACAGAGUAAGCUUUUAAGCUUAGUAAGUUCGUAUAAUAGAGAAUUUAACUUACCAUUUUAAUCACAUUUAAGGUAAGCAUACAAAACAUAUCCAACUCAAUUUGGCCAAAAGCCUAAACAUAUAUCCUCAACAACCAUGUUAGUCAUGUAAUUCAUAUAGAAUCAAGAAACAUGUAUGAAUUCAAUAAUAAUCAAAACUUCAUAUACAUAUAAUUUCCACUUCAUAUGACUAUAUAUCAUGUACAAAUCAUUUUCAUAUAUCUCAUGUAAAUACCUGUAGUAGUUCAGAUUAAACUCAUGUAAUCUCGUAACAAAACAGUGUCCAUUGAACCAUUUAGAAUAUCUUUGGAUAUGCGGGUAGUACACACGAGGUGUACUAAACUGUAAUCCGUCAAUUCAUGUACAUGUAUGCUAAUACUAGCUAUAAACAGUAAGCUCUUUCGAGCUUAAUAAUGGUAAGCUCCUCCAAGAUGAAUAACGGUAAGCUCAUACGAGUUGAGUAUCGCUAAGCUCAUAAGAGCUGAAAUCGGUAACCCUAAUAACAUGUCAUUUGUAUCCUACAAAUUCCUGAGGUUCAAACGGGGCUCGGUAAUCGUCGUACGUCGUCAGAUAUGUGAUCGGUACUCAUAUAUGAUGGUAAUGCAAAUAAUAUACAUCUAAUUCAAUCAAAGCAUAUAAUUACACAAUUUAAUUACACGGACUUACCUCGACAAGUUUACGUAGAUACGAAGGUGACUAAUCCGAUAUUUUUCCUUUGCCUUGAUCUAACUUCGUACGAGGUCUAACCGAAUCUAUACGAAUGAAUUUAACUCCAUUCAAUAUAAUUCAUAUACAAUUUAGUCCAACACACAUUUUUGGUAAAAUUACCAUUUUACCCCUAUACUUUUAAUUCUUUGCAAUUUAGUCUCUAGGCUCGAAAAAUGAAAAUCAUUCAAUUUUCUCCCCACCCAAGCCUAUAAAUACUAUAUAAAUGCUUAUAGCAGCCCACAUAUUUCAAAAAUUCACAAUUUUACCCCACAAUUUAUCACAUUUUUCAGUUUAACUCCUAUUUGACAAUUUCACUAAAAAUUCAUUUACAAAAGUUGUUUACCCAACAAAAACCAUUCAUUUUCUAUCAUCAAACAUCAAAACUCAAGCAUGCUCAUCAAUGGAAAAACCCUAAUACUUUAACAGUUUCACAAAUUAGUCCCCGGGCUAGCUAGAUUAAGCUACAACGAUCCCGGAAACAUAGAAAUUAUCAAAAACGGGACAAACCACAUACCUAAUUGAUGGAAACAAGCUUGCCAAACCCUAAAGUGCAAAAAUGGAUUCUUUUUCCUUGGCUAUUCGGUUGAAGAAACAAAGAAACAUGAAAGCUUUUUAAUUUGUUUUAUUUGUUUUAUCAUUUAUUACUUAUUUACAAAAUUAACCUUAAUUAACCUUAAAAAUUACACUAAUGCCAAGCCAUGUACUUCCACUGUCACAUUUAAUGGUCUAAUUACCAUAUAAGGACCUCCACUUUAAAUUUUUAUACCUAUUAGACACCUUUAGCUAUUAGAACACAACUUUUGCACUUUACGCGAUUUAGUCCUUUUAUCAAAUUGAGCAUGUAAACAGUAAAAUUUCUUAACGAAAUUUUUAUACAGUAAUAGUAUCAUCCUCUAGACCAUAUAAUAAUAAUAAAAUAAAUUUUUUGGCUUCGUAUUUGUGGUCCCAAAACCACUGUUCCGAUUUCACUAAAAGCUGGUUGUUACAGGUUUAAUCAAGUUUUUCAUGAAUUAAAUUAAUACAUCUGUCUAUUUUCCUCAAUGGUUUUUUCAUGCAAAGCAAAAUGAAAGCAAAUAUUAGCUCACUGGUUGUCUAAUGUUUAACUAAUAUUAAGUGGUAUUACAUGGUCGAAUCAUAAUACAAACAAAUAACUUAUAUUAGUAAACGAACCUAAACAUGUCCCUAGUCUAAUUGGAAAUGAGCAAACCAAUUGAAAGACUAAUAUGUUGUCUAUCAAGUCCUAUUGGGGAGAUUCUUUUCCUUGGGCAUCAAAGCAAAUGACUCCCAAAAGAUAGAGACAUCGAUGUUACUGACUGGACUAAUAAUACAUCAAAUAAGACCUAAGUAGAAUAGAUCCUAAAUUCAUUUAUGGAUUUAUUCACUUGUGACGUUCACAACAUGACAUACCUUAAUCCUGAGUGGAUGGUGGAUUACGUAUGUGUGAUUCGUACACUUUAAUGUAAGUAAAAGUCCAAGUUUAAAUAGAUAAGGAAUCGAAAGUUGGUGUAUUGGGUAUACGAAUUUUGUAGUAUGUAGUAUCAUUCAGAAUAAUGGAAUUUAUAGCCCAAGACAUGGGUAAUAUCCUCUCAUUGGCAUUAGAUGAUAGAUGAAAAGUAAAUGUUGCCACGGGUUGUUCGUCUUUGUGAUGAAUGAUUUAAUUACUUUUUAUAGUAACUGAAUUUCCAAUAAGGAAGAUGUAAUGGUGACCAUGAGAUAAAAUAGGAUCAUAUUGGGAGAACGGAUUUAUCCCAAAUAGAUUAAGGAUAUCCUAUGAGGGUAACACACUUAUGAAAGGUCAUUAGACGAGCAUUAAUCAAGUAGCUUUUGUAGUGGAAUGUAAUUGGGGAGAGCUCAAAUACGAUACUAUAGUUGGAUGACUUCGUGACUAAAUGAGUUUAUAAUUAAUAGGCGAAAAGCUGGAACUUAAUUAUAAAUCAUUUAAGCCCAAAUCAGAUAUGUCCAAUCGGUCCCUCUGCUAGCUCGUUGAAACUAGAAAUGGAUUGCAUGUUGAAUCAAAUGAACAGAAAUGGAUGGAAAUGAUAAAAUUAGAUAAAAGGGUUACAUUCAGGAAUCAAUGUGGUUUCCCACUUGGUAUAGAAAUGACCUGAGAAUGAAUUUAAGUUUUUUUAAUUAUUAUUUAAUUAAAUAAUUUAUGUUCGAAAAUGGAAUCAAAUUAAUUGGUCAUUAUGAAAUCCAUUGAAUGCAAAAAUUAAAUAUAUUUUCUCAUGGAUUCUUUUAUAGUAAAGUUGUCAUAAUUUUAACGAGAUUAGAAUUGAGUUCAGAAAAAUAUUUAAUUUAAAAUUUUAUUUAAAUUAAUUUAAUAAAUAAUUUCUAUUUGGAUAAAUAGAAAAACAUGUAAUUGGUCAGAUUAAAUUAUAGAGUGUUGGGUUAAAAUUCCAAGAAGCACAUAUAAUUGGACUCAAUACAAGAGAUGCUCGAAUUCCAUCGUAAUACAUAUGAGGGGAAACACAUACUAUUAGCCUCUCUCUCUCUCUCCUAGUUCAACUAGGGGAUUUUUUUUUCUAUUAGAUAGACAUUAAAUGCAUUCUACUAAUUCAACGAUGAUAUCACUUCCUCUCCUUAUAAAUAGAUGGAAUCAGUAGGGCUAAAAAAAUAACGAGUUAUGUACAAAUAUGAGAUAUUUUUAUUCUUCCAGAAAGUAGUAGAAAUUUAUUUUCUAGAAUAAAUUUUAUUUUCUGGAAUAAAUUCUAUUUUCUAUGAAUAACAAUUUUACUAGUUUCUAUUAAAAGAGAUUUACUUUCCCACUGAAAAUAAAGAAAAUAUUUGUGGUUCUGCGUUUGAUUCAAAUUUGUUCGAACCCACACUUGAAGUAGUUCGUGCUAUGAGAAUAGCGGAGAAGAUCGUUUGGUUAAAAGCUAGGAACAUCCACGAUCCAUCUAGUCCAAAACACAGGUAUGAUUUCAAGAGAAAAUUAUUGCUAUAAAUAUCACAAAUUGGCUCGAUUUUCAAAAUUUUAUUUUUUCGCUACGUAAGAAAACCAUUUUUGAAUCGAAUUUUUUUGAAAAGGUUUUUCAUUGAAUUUUUUCUUCCCUAAGGUAAUGAAGUGUUAGUGUCACAACAGCCACAAUAGUUGGUGUUUUCCUCGAGGUUUGGCCAUAGUCAUCUUCCUAUACAAACUCCAAUCAACCAUCAUACACCCAAUGGCAUAAUUUUUCCAAUUUGGGCCUCAGAAGGAGUAAAAUGUACAAAAAAAAUUAUCAUUAACACUAAGAACUAAAAAUCAAUAAAAAGCAUUGAAAAGACUCAGAAAUUGCUUAAGAAAAAACUCAUCAAGUGUUCAAGCGAGCCUAAUUUGACGUAUCAAAUUACGGCAAAUCAAUAGCCAUAGUUAUCUUUUAUAUCCUCAUGAUUAGAAUUCCAAAUAUGAAAUUAUUAGCUAAGGGAUGGUCAACCGCUAAAAAUUCCACCAUUUACUUUGUUGUGUGUUGCUAGUUACCUAAUGUGAUCAGCAAAAGAAUAGAUCCCCAUACCUCUACCGACUAGUUGGUGAAACCGUAGAUAGGUCUCACCUUUUUAAGUAUUAACUCCUUUAUGCCUAUUUGUUUGAACGUUCUCUAGCGUAAUACUUCCAUUUUACUUCUAAUAUCUACUACUAUUCUUUCACUUGAAAAUAUGUUAUACUUGUUGUGAUUACUAAGGGAUUGUUUCCAUUUGCAUGUAAAAGUUCAUCUUCAACUGUUACAUCAAAUUUAACUUGACAUGACUUUGUAAAAUGAGGUUUCUUUAAUAGAGCAUUAAUGGACAUCAUACUCAUUCUAUAUGCCUUUCUCCUAGCAUUGGAUUUUUUUCAUUCUUCAUUAUUGUCAACAAUUACAUUUAGAACUCCGCUCACUGUUGUCUGCAACAUGCUCUAUACUUUUUGGGUUCUUAAGACAAGACUAAUUCUCAAUUACCAUACUCUCUAUUAUUUCUAUUGUGAGGGGAUUGAGCUAAAUACUCAACAUCUAUGAGUCGACUAAAUUCUAACUGACUCGAUUCCAUUAAUGGGGUCUUUCUAAAAUUCCUUUAUUUUUUAUCAAUUGAAAAUAUAAUACGGUGAAGCUGUGAGGGGAUAUAAGUUUCAAACUUGUUAUAAGGAGCUCAUUCAACCUUCUCAUGUUUCUGAUGAUGUUCUCUCUUGUCUCACUCUACUUUCUAACAUUAUGGAGAUUUGGCAAGGUUAGAGAAAUGUUUCCCCAUAACUGUAUGCCUAUGUUGGGGUUUUGCCUUCGAUGGUCAUAUAAUGGUGAGUUCCCCAAAAAUAAGUUGUUGUGACUUCGAGGCGAAGGUUUGGUGUAAGACUUGGAUGAUUGAGUGUUAACUCAAUAAAUUUCUCUAGUUUCUACAUACCUAUAUACCUUCUUAAAUAAAUUUGACAGUCUUUUUGGUUGGUCAUUUAUUAACAUGUACUUUAAAUGUCAUGUGCUACCCUUGCAAUGAACGUCUAUAUUUCUCAUUCAUCUAUCAACCCUUUCGUCUUCAUCAUUGCAAUAUCAAACAUGUGGGUUAACUCUUUAAAGAGUUUUCUUACUAAAAAAGAGGUAAGCUAGACUUUGAGGUAAUGUUUUGUUAGUGAGAAACUUACUCAUGAAUAAGUUUGUUAGCUUACUGAGGGAAUGUAUAGAGCAUUUUGGAAAAGAGAGAUUCAUUGUCGCUAGACAUACGAACGUUUGGACUGCAAAUACUGCAACAAAAAGAUAUAGAAUUGAACAGUGGUGUUCACAAGUAUACGGGUCAAGUUGUAAUAUAGUUUUGUUUACAACGAAACUUGGAAAGUAUUCUGAGGAUCGUACCCAAGGGAUUGUAUAUUGGAGAAAAUUACUAUUAAAUUAAUUUAAAAAAUAAGUAUUAAUCUAGUUGAGUUACGAAUUAGUAGUCUAAAUCCAAAAAAAUAAUAAAUUUAACUAAUUAAUUUAACCUAAACUAGAACUAACCCUAUAUUUACUAUCAGUUUCCCCUAUUCUUUGUUUUGACUAAGCGAGCCCCCUUAGCCUAGAAUCAAUUGUAACCCUAAUUAUUAAUUACUUCAACAAUUACCCUUAAUUAAGUAUUUACCACCCUUAGCUCGGAAGACCCUCUCAGCCUCAUCUUCACUAAGUAUUACCACCUAAGAUACCCUUUCAGUUUCACCGCUUGGUGUAAGUCCUACUCGACAAGAUACCCUCUCAGUUUCACCUGUCUAGAUUUUCUACUAGGGGUGUUACUUCCUAGUAUACUAAGUCCCUUGAAUAAACACUUAAUUUUAGGUUAUUAUUCAAUCAAUCAAUUAAUUAACGAAACAACCAAUUCAUGCAAGAUAAGUGCGAAGCACAAAAUAUAUUCAAAUAUUCAUACAAACAUUCAAUUAAAAGAUUUAAUGAAAGAAAUAUAAUAGAAGAAUAAGGAUAAGAGAAUUAUUAUGAAUUAACCGAUGAAAUAAUGUAAUUCCAGAACAUCCUCCACUCGUAAUUAUCUAACUUUGAAAUAGAAUCUUCCAAUUAAGCGAACAUAAUGAAAACUAAACUAAAACUAAAGAAAAUUAUGUAAACCAAUCUGUCUGUCUAGGUCGACUCCCCCUCUAAUGUGGUUAUAAUGUGACUUAUAUAGACUACAUUCAAGGUACUACAAGGUAUUAGGUGCCUAAAAUACCCUUGAAGCAAGUAGAAUUUAACUAGGAAACAAAACCCUAAUUAGCUAUCAAAAACAUGGCCCCCCUAGUCCAAGUUUUCGUUGCGUCAUCACGACGUCAAAGAACCCCUCAACGUAACAUUGUCUCUAUUUCAUCCCUAGUAGCUUCGAUGUUCGGUGUCGCGACAUUGCAUUCUAGUGUUGCGAUACUGAAGUUGUUCCUUGCAUUCUUUAACCUGAAAGAACAUCCUGCACACUUAAGUAGCAUAUUAGUCAUAGCCCUAGGCUCAAAUUGAACUAAAGGGUCAUCGAAACACCUAAAAAUGCAUAAAAAUGCUUAUUUUACCGAAAUUAAAAUUUUAAGACUAAAAUGUAAAACUAAUCAAAUUAACACUAAGUUAUGUCGAAAACAAGCUCAUUAAGUGACGAAAAUGACCUAAUUUGCCACCAUAAAUUUUAAAAAACAAAUUCCUUCAUAAUUUUUGGUAUUCUCUAAAAAAUUUUGUUAUUCCUUCGAAAUUCAUAAUUUCGGGUACACCUUCAUAAUUAUUGGUAAUCCCUCAUAAUUUUUAGUGUUCUCUCAUUAUUUUUGGUAUGCCAUCAAAAUUUUUGGUAUUUUUUCAAAGUAAGGUUUUGAUUUGAUAAAUCCAUUUUUUAUAUAAAAGAAAUAUUUUUGCAUACUAAUAAAUUUUGUUAUAUAUACUAAUAAAAUUUAAAAUAUAAAGGACCACCUUCAAACGUACUAACGUCUAGAGUGUAAAUCCUACAACCAAAUAUUAUUGUUAGGCGGUUUUCGCAAGUAUACAAGUCAGGUUGUAAUAUAGAUUUAUACAACGAAGUAUUGGAGUACUCUGAGGAUCAUACCUAAGGGAGGUGAAACUAAACUAAUUCUAACUUCUACGUUAAUAGAUCUAGUUAGUAAUUUAAUUAAACUAUAUUACGAUAGAUCCUAAGGUGAAGAAAAAUCAUAUUGUAGGAAAAUAAUUAAAAUGCAUGAAAAUAAAGACGAGAAACUAAUUUGUAGAGUUUAUCAAUUCUAAGGAGCGAAGAAUAACUUGCUUCGAUGAUCAUAGUUAACUCAUAUUUUGGGUUCUAUUCAAUUAACUAGUCAUUAACCUAGCAGGAUCUCCCGAUCUUCCACUAAAUUAAUGAAUCGUCAAUAACUACUUAUCUCUCGACCUUACAGUCCAGACCGGAAUUGGGGUAAGGUGUUCACUGAUAGGCAAUACCAAUUUUGGGUUCAUUCCCACCUAGAUGACUUCCUAGGGUUUCAAGCCUCGUGGUUUUAAGUUAUUCCUAUCUCAACCAAUUGAUCCGCUAAGAAACCCUACAUAGAAGUUAAUUACUCCCAAGUCCACUCAUUAAUCUCUCAUAAAAGGAUUAGCUCCUCAUGGAUCUCAUAAACAUUAUAAACUUGAUUGAAAAGAUAAACAUAAAUAAUAGAUCAAGAAUAAAGUUUAAGAAAAAUCAUGUUAUGUAUUGAUAAUUGCAAGAACAGAAAUCCACAAAGAGUUGAUGAAUCCACAAAUCGAGUUCCACGGCAAAAGAAAAUAAAAGCUAGAAUAAAGUUACAAAUAAAUAACCUAAGUACAAAAUAAACAAGAAAGAAACUGAAAAUAAAACUAAAUGAAAGUCAUAACCUAAAACUUGAAUAAAAUUGUCUAUGAAGUGUUUGAAGCCGUUUAUUUAUUGAAUUAGGGUUGGUAGUCGUCCAUUGACCUCAUUCGGCUAACACUUUUGCAUUAAAGUUUAUUGUGUGGGCCAAAACACCCUUGGCUCAUUAAUUCUCCUCGUCAAGGUGGUGUCACAACACCCCUUGGCCUGUGCCAGGACAUUGAUGGCAGUUUAUGAGCUGAGGCUUGACUAAAAUGUUGUGUCGCGACACCCUCUGGCUAUGUCACAACACUGAAAGCAGUUUGCUCCUUUUGAGUACUCUUCUCACUAUGACGUGACAUCGACACUCCAUGUUACAACAUAGCAGCCAACCUCGUGUUCUUAUGCCUCCAAAUGAUGCCCUGCACAUUCACUGAAUAAGUGCCUUCCUUGGGCCUAUUUUAGCCCAUAAAGUCAUAUAAAUGGCUCAAAUCACAGUUUUUAUUAUUGACGAACUAAAGAUAAAAAUUAAGUAAAAAAACUAUAUUGUUUUUAUACAAGCUCUUCAAGUGUGGAAAAAGUUUAAUCUGCUACAAUGAAUUGUGACAGAUCAAACUCUCCCACACUCUUGUCCUUAAGAAAGAAAACAUAAAAACAAAAAAUAUAAAAGAUGAUCCUUGAGCAAGUAUGAUACAAAAAUCAUUUCGAAAACACAUAAAUAAGAAAAAUCAUAAUUACAUGUAAUUCUUGUAUUAUAUUAAAUGACUUGCCAUUCUUAAUUUCAAAUAUCUAAGCUCAAUACAUUACAAAAUAUAUAAACAACAAGGCCCUCAAGUAUAUUUAUCCAUCGAUAAAUUACAAAGGUAAUUUGAUUAUCCUAGAAUAAUACAAACAGUUAUUAUUGUAAUCACUAAAUACAAUAUCCAUUCAGAAAUAGAUUUACCUAGGUCACAUAGGACUUUUUGGCUUGUAAUGUUUUAAGGCUUAAGGUUGGUAUGGAAUUCAAGAACAAGGAGCACCAAAAACGUUUCAAGCACGAAAUUAGUUUAGCAUAUUGUAUUGUCCCCUAUUCUCCCCCUUUAGUGACCCAGUCUCACUCACGACCUUAUUUCUCCUUCUCUCCCCUUCUUUAUUUCUUCAUGUUGGAAGUCACAACAUGAUAAAGUAACUAUGGUCAACUUAAGAGUUUUUUUGCACUAAUGAUUGAGUUUUCUAAUUUCAUGAAUUUUUUCUUUAGUCACUUUUGACUUUUUUUCAUCAUGUCUCACUCACACUGCUUUUUUUUCAUUAGUCAAGUACUUUUUCUACUCGUUUAGACUUAUUCUAAAUUUUUUUUUGUUUUGCACAUUUUAGAUAAACUUAUAAUCACUAUAUCACAUUGUUUCUUCUUAUUUCACUUUGAUUUUACAAAACCAUCGUUAUGUCUCUACCUAUCCCUUAAUAGGUAUGAUCUUAUGUCUAAGUUCGUGCAAUUCAAGGACCAAAGAAAGAGGGUAAGUACAAAUUUACAUUUUGGUUUUUGGUUUUUGGUUUUGUAUAAGGUUCAUCAAGAAAAUUUUUCUGGCUCAAAUAUGGGUACUAAAUAUUGAUGAGUAAGGUUGGCUUUUUGGCUCUAGGUUAUACCAAAUAAUGUCUUAAGUCAUCCCUAGGUAUCUUAAUAUUCACAAAUUUAAUUGAUCAAGCAAUUAAAAUUCUAACCAUUUAUCAUUCAUACUAGUAUGCUCGUUUCCCUAUAUUCUCCCUAUCAUCUAGUGUAUUCAAUUACUUAAUGCCUAUUUACAAUGUAAUAUAUAGAACUUAGUAGUCUAAUGAUUGAAAAUUUAAAAUCAUUCACUAUCAUGCCAAAUUUACAAUAAAUACAAUCAGCCUAUAUACAUGUUCCUAACCAAUCACUUGUAUUUCUACAAGCUUAAGCACACUUUUAACAAGAAAAAUAAAAUAAAAACAUAAAUUUUCUAUGUUACCCCACACACACACUUUAGAUAGAACAUUGUCCCUAAUGUGUAACCCCUAAGUAGAUAAGGAAUGAAGUUAUCGUGACAUUGUUGUGGUCUUAUGGUGGGUGCUUCCUUUCUUCUUCGUUUGCACUCGUAAUUGUAGUGCUCUCCUUUUAUAGAGUUCUUACAUAGAAAAUUUAGAAUAAAAACAUAUAUAUAAACUAUUGUUACUCCUCUCAAUCUAGAAUAAAAAAAAUAAAAACCAUCCUAAUUAAUUUUUUUACAAAACCAAAAAUUAAAAAUCAUCUUUUAAUCAUCAAAAUGGGGCGGUUGCCCCCUCCAUCGAAGCUUUCCCUUUGCCCGAUACGUGGCCUCGAGAGGAGCCUGCACCAACGAAUGUGCAUGCCAGGUUGGGCUACGAAUGACUGGCCCUUUUCUUCGUAGAUUGUUUCGACUGAAACGCCACCUCAUAGUCAUCAUCCUCCUCCUUUUGAGAGUCUCGUUUCAUAUCUUCCUCGUCCUCCUUGUCUUCAUUCUCACUCCUAUUAUCCUUUUCACUUCCCUACUCCUUGAGUCUAUGAUAGGUUGCAUGGGGCCAUAUUUGUUCGGUGGAAAAUUUGGUAUUCCCAUAGCAUUUUCUCGUAAAAACUCUUGUCCCACUGGGCCCAUUUCCUGUAUCCAUCUUAUCAUCAAUUUUGUAUAUGAGAUUUUGCUUCCCGUAGUCCUUUCCUGAGCUUUUGAUGUCUUCUUCCUUUUCAAAGAUGUCAGGGCAUGCAUCUUCUACUUUCUUUAUUAUUUUCAAUCCUUGAUUUUUUUCUCAAUGAAGCUUGACGUAUUGGGUAUACAUGGAAUCACUUAUUAAGCUUUUCAUCGGCCUCAUGAAUUACUUGUUUGUUUCCAUUGGAACCCCAGCCUUUUUGCAUAGCACUGUCAUUAGGUGAGGGAAGAAAACCCCAACCUUCUAAUUGCUUAUACAGUGUUUCUUGCUGUGAUAUAUCCAUCGGUCGAUGUAUAUCUACUUUUCCUAUAGAAUUCCAAACAACAAAAAUUGCUCGAAAAGUUUUUACAUUAGAAUGGCAGGUGUAAUUUUAGUGCAAAGAAAUUGCAUCCACAUUUUAGUUGUGGGAAACAUGAUUUCUUGAUUAAAUUUGCUUGGAAAUUCGGUAUCUGAUCAGUGGUUCCUUUCACCCCUCCCUUUGGUUAAGUAGUUUACAAUAUUAUCUAUAUUUAUAUCCUUAAAAUUAUCUAAAUCAAUAUUGUCAAGAAAACUAGCCUUGUAAUAUGAAACAUUGUAAAACUCACAAAUUUCUCUUGGACCCUUUCUCCCUAAAGGAUGCAUAGAACUCUUGGACUAUCGAGAGAACAAUGGGUUCUUUCGGGGUUACGUAAAAGCGUUCCCAUCUAUGAUACCGAACUAGCACCCAAAUUUCAUUGCAAAGAAUCAUUGAUGGUUCGAAACCCCUUUCUUGGAUGAAUGUUUUCCCUUAUAGUUCUAAAAAGUAUUUUUUAACAUUUGGGUUUUUAAAUUUCAAGAGUUUUGUGACCACCGGUGUUUCUUGUUCAUCGGUUCUUCUAGUUUUUCUAAGAGGCAUUUUCAAAUAUAUUCGACUAGAUGAAAAAAAUCAAGCAAUAUAUUUCUCAAAACAAUAUAAUGUAAUGGUAGAACUUGGAAAGAAACCCUUAACCUUAGUAUGCCGAAUGUUUGUUGUUCCUUAUGUUGUGAUAGAUCUUAGUGCUUGUGAAUCUAACCAAGAGAAAGCGUUAUUUAUUUAGGAGAAGAGGAAUAACCGAAGAUAAAUAGUGUCAUGGGUGACCCCGUUGAAUUUGAAAGUAUCACAAAGUUGGAGAAACCGCUUUAGAUGUUAACUUGGAACAUCCGUCGUUGUCCCUCUGAAUUGCAGAUUAUUUUGUAUCAUUUGGAUCAUAGCCAGUUUGAUCUGAGCAAAUGCCAGAUUAUGUGAAAUUUAUGAAAGACGUCCUAUCCAAAAAGAGAAGCCUUGGAGAGUUUCAAACUGUAGCAUUAACGAAGGAUUGCAAUACAUUCCUACAAGGCAAGCUGCCCUUAAAAAUGAAGAAUCCAAGGAGCUUUACCAUACCAUGAAACAUAGGAUAUUCUUAUUAUAGAAGGGCUUUAUGUGAUUUGGGAUCAAGUAUCAACUUGAUGCCAAUGUUUAUGCUUAAGCAACUGAGGACUGGUGAGGUCAAACCAACGACGGUCACACUCCAACUAGCGGAUAAGUCAUUGGCACAUCUUGAAGGAAAAAUCAAGGACAUACUAGUACAUGUCGAUAAAUUUAUCUUUCCUGCUAACUUCAUUGUGUUGGAUUUUGAGGUAGAUAAAGAAGUUCCUAUCAUUCUAGGGAGACCAUUCCUGACAACCAGAAGAACAUUGAUUGAUGUACAAAACGGUGAAUUUAGCAUGAAGCUUCAUGAUGACAUGGUAACUUUCAAUGUCUUUAAUGCUAUUAAAUCCCCUGAUGAGAUUAAAGAAUGCUAUGUUGUUUCCAAGAUGGAAUCUUUAGUCCCCCUAGAAUUGGAACGCAUGUUAUUAAGUGAUCCGAUAAAUGACGAUGAAGACAAUGAAUGUUCAGUUUUGUUAGAAGUAGAUUCGAAGGAAGUUAUUUUUAAAGAUCAGUUUAAUUCAUUAGAGUUAUCAUCAUAAUGAUUCAAGGCACUAAAAGCAUCUGUUGAAAAGCCAAAUGAAUCGAAAUUAAAUGAAGGGUGAAGGGGAUUGACUCAAUCUUGGGUAUUUGAUCCAAGAAAAAUCAAGUUUCAAUGGUUAGAGGUCAGAAUCAUUUAUCUCAAUUCCUACAGUCAUUGAGUAAGCCCUAUUGAACGUAGACUGGAAAUGAUGAAAUUACUACGAUUACAAAUGACGACAAUGAGUUGAUUUUGAUAAGAACUGACACGAAUUGGAUAAUUAGCAGGAAGCUAAACAAUGAUACCAAGAAAGAUCAUUUCUUGUUCCUUUUCCUUGAUCAAAUGUUGAAUAGAAUUGUUGGGCAAGAUUAUUUCUUCUUUAUUGAUGGGUAUGAUUGGUAUGACAAAUGGCCAUUUGACAUCGCCUUUUUCAUUGAUGAUCCUAAUGACAUUGAGGAAGUUUUCUUCACUUUCUUUGUCGUUAUUUUUUUUAAUUUUUUAUUUCAUUUGAAUAAAAUAGAAAACUUAGAUAAUUUUUUUCUUUGGAUCAUUACAUUAAUUUAAAUUCUAUCCAGGAGAUUGGGACUUAAGCGAAACCAUUUGUGACCCCUCCAAUUUUUCCUAAGAAUUUAAUUUAAUGUAAUUUUUCAAAAAAAAUAUUUUUUUAAGUAGCCCGAAAAAUUUGUUUUGUUAAAUAAAGGGUCAAUUUUUUACCCAAGUACUAAUUUCUUUGAGUUUUUUUCAGUUUACUUUCAAUACAAGUACUUAAGAUCCAAAAAGGUGUUGUCAUUGGACUUAAAACUCAAGACACUGCUAGAAAGGGAAAUAUCCAACCAUUUGCCACACACCCACAUCCAAAAGAACCUUGUUGCCUUACACAUUUGUAGCCACACAUACCAUCACUGUCACACAAACCUAUAGCCCUUACCUUGCCCCACCGCCACUCUCAAGUAGUCGCAUAAUGCAUCUCCCUUAACCCUUUAAUGUUGCAGCCCUUAACUCCCUAAAUCACUGCCCCAAACACCUUCAUUUGAAGAUUCUAGCCACCGCACCUAAACCAUCCUUAAAACCACUACCCCCUCCAUCUCUAAACCUUAUCGUCGGCUACUCACCCACCUACCAAAACCGAAAUCACCCUUAACAUAUUUUCUAACUCUGACGCUUAGAGUCCCUUCAACUAGCACCAUUCCAUGGAGUGAACAAUCAAAUAUAAUAGACAUUUUGCAAAACAUGCAAUGGCAACAACAGGCUUUUUGGAGAUACUCAAAAAUGCAAGAUGAUUCAUUCAGAAAUGAAUUUAAGAAAAUAGUUCAUAACCCAUUUGUUUUUGUGUUUGAAUUUCCAGAGUUUAUAUUUUAGCCAUGAAUUUCAAUGUCAAGGAAGGAACAAGAUGACUCAAGCAAGAACAAGAAUGAUGAAGCAAAAGAUAGGUCAGAUACUGAAGAGUUUGCAAAUAAAAAAAUGGGGGGUCUUUACUUUUCUUUUCUUUUUUUAGGAUACUUUAAAUUUUAGGAUUUUUCUUUUUAGUACUUUAUUUUAUCCUUUGCAUAAUAAAACAUUAAAUCGAAAGGAUUAAUAAAAUUAAGGAAGUUUUUCAUUAAUUAUUAAAGUUUUUGAAAAAUAAGAAGUGUAGUAAUAGGAAUAUACAUUACAUGUCUAGGAUUGGAUCUGUCAAGGAAAGGCAUGGUACUUGAGUAGUCAAAUUUGACUCACCUCCAUUUCCUGGGAUCCUACUUGGUGUAUUCACAUUCACCUCUUUGAUUUCAAACAAUGAGGACAUUGUUUAUCUUUAAAAAAGGGGACUAGAAAUUUAAUUUUUCUUUUUCUUCAAAAAUUUAUUUUUCCUAUCAAAUUAUAAUUAAGUAAAUUUUUCUCAAAAAUUAAAUUUUUUGUUUAACUAUGUUAGCUUUAGUAUGAAUAAAAUUCUAUUAUCUCAAUAAAUUUUUUGUCAGCUAAAUUAUGACAUAAACGUUGAUCUUAAUAAAAUGUAUAAGUUAAGCCAUGAAAUUUUUAAUUUCUUAGAAAAACUAAGCAUGCAUGAAAGUUUAAGUCUCUAGAAUUGGCUUAGUAAUUUCUUGAGGCUUAUUGAGGCAAAAUCUUAGGAGGCAUGGUAAUUUGAAAAUGAUUUAGGCAAAAUUUUGUUUGGACCGUUUGAACCUUUCAAGCCAACAUUAAUAAACAUUUAUCCCUUGAAACCCAACUUUGAGACUAUAUGGCCUAAUUUUAUUUUUAUUUUUUUUUGAACCUUUCAUUAACAAGCCAUCUUUUCUUUAAUAUUUAUCUUUAAACUGUCCCAAGCACUAGACUCUAUUUAUUUAGAUUUUUUUUUUUUUGAGAAUAAAUUUGGGGGAGUUAAAAAGAGGUACUAAAUGCUGAAAAAUGUUGAAGUACAUGUAGUAGUGUGCUCAAAAAUAUGCUUAAAAAAAAAGAGACCAUAUGUAAAGUGUACAAAGAGCAUAUGUACUCAGUAUUUGCAUUUCAAAGGCCUAAGGCACGCUGAGUCUAGGGUUUUUUUGUCUAAAAUUUAUCUAUCUUUUACCUACCCCUAGUCAAGCCACAUUACAACCAUAUUAAAGACCUAUUGAUUUAAAUUUUGUACUGACUACAUUAGUAGAGAGAAAUUGCUAAGCUCAACAUAUGAAAGCAUAAUUAAACUUAAUCAUUGCAACUUAGUUUUAGAUAAGGAAGUAAAAGUUAAUUGGUAUGAACUAAGUACAUAUUUAUUACAAGAAAGCAUUUAGUCUAUAUUCUUGCUAUCAUGAUAAUAAUUGAGAAUAAUUGAAUAAUCUGUAUACUCAAGUUGCAUUAUUACAGAAUUUUAUUCUUGAGCAUAAUUGUACUAAACUCAAAAUUGUGGGAAGAACGGAUUUUUGAAGGAAACUUUUCAAAAGUGAUUUUCUUGAAUUCUUUUGUGAUUUAAGCAUUACUCGGGAUGAGCAAUGAAUUAACUUUGGAAGUGUGGAAACAUUGAAAUGAAUAGACUUUUUCAACACCUUCUGAACAUUAUUUCAUGCAAAUUUCAAGUAUUUUUUAACGAAUUUUGUGCUUUCAUUAUAAAAUAAUUAAAUUGAACAUGAUUUAAGACCCAUCUUGAAUUUUAGUUAUUUUGAUAUUAAAUUUACAUAAUUCUGCCAAUUUUGAGCAACUUUGCAUAAUAGGAGCAAAAUCAGCUUGGAAGUCACCUUGGGAAGAUUUAAUUGUUGGGCAUCUUCGAAGUUUUAGCUGAUUAAUUAGCAUCCAUGGAUGCCCAGAAAAAUUAAUUUUGGACUCCUGCAAUGCAAUUGGCUCAGUUCUCAAUUAUGGUGAUUAAAUUGGACAGCUUUAUAUAGAGAAAGAGACCCAGAAAAUUCGGGACUGAUCCACAAGAGAGAGAGUAGUCCAAGUCGACCCAAUUUGCUGCCCAAAUCAGCUAUUUUAAGCUGAUUUUAACAAUUGUAAAAUAGCCCUAAACUUUUCCUCUUACCCGUUCCAACCUCUCCAUUUAUUAAGCUUUCACAUUCAAGCACCUAGCUAAUUAUAGCAAACCAUCUCAACCACUCUCCCUACUAUCAAGGGCCGAACAUGGGAAGGAAGAUUGGUUGCUAUUUUUAGCAAAUGUAAGCCCUCACAAAAAUAUCAUAAUCUAUUCUCUGUUUUCAAUAUUUCUCAAUGGCAUCUCUUGUAAAUCCCUCUUCUCUUCUUCUACUCAUCAACAGCCUUCCAACACCAUCAACUCAUCCUCAUCGAGUUCUCUAAGUUGCUGCACCCAAGCAGCAGCAAUGAGCACAAGGAAACCAUAAUGUGAAAUUAAAAGAAAACACAAACCAGUCACCAAGGAUUAAAAGAUUAUUAAACUUACAAUAUUGAUUUUUUUCAAGGUAAGGUGAGAUCACUGAGAAAAAAGGAUUUUAUGGAGAUGAAAAUAAUAUUUAGUGAUAUAAUUGUUAAAUAAAAGCAAGAAAAAGGUUUAACUAGGUAAUAUUUAUUCGUGGAGUUUUUAGGACUAUAUUAAAUAUUAAUUUUUUAAAAAAUAUAAAAGGAUUUUCUUUUUAUUUAAAUUAAUUUUAAAAUUUUUAAAAAUCUGAAUAAUAAUGACGUGGCUUUAAAAGAAAAAAGAUUAAAAGUUCCCAUUUAGGUAAUAAAGAUUUGAAAUAAAUCUAAAAAUCUAAUUUCAUAAUUUAAGUUCUAGCAACCUAAAGAGAAUCCUAAUAUCUAACUAAAAUGAAUGAGAACUUAUAAUUCUAAUUAAAUAUAAAAUAUAGAAACCUAAAAGAAACUUAAAAUAUCUUAAGUCAAUCCUAAAAUUUCUAAGGACUAACUACUAGAUAAAAUAGAUCCAAAAUCUUAUAACAUAAAUUUAAGCCUAACCUAUGUCCUAAAAACAUCAACAAUCAUCAUACUAGGAAUAUAUAUAUAUAUGUAUAUAAGAGCAAUAAUCAAGUAAAUUUAAUUCAACAUACCAAUAUCAUGAUAAUAAAAUAUGCAUGGUAAAUUCUGUAAAAAGAAUAAAUAAAAUGAAAUGAGACCCUAAAAACCCAAAUUAAAACAAAGGUAAUGUUUGGAUUAAUGGAAUAAACAAAAUGAAUAAGGAAAAGUACUAUGGAAACAAGAUAAAAAUAAAUGAAAGGAAAGUAAUAAAUAAAAUGAAAUAUGACUAAAGAUAAAUCUUUUUUUCCUUAAAUUAGGGAAAUGUCGAAACGGAGGGACUAAAGGAGCAAUUAAUUUGCUCACAUUUUUUAAAAUCAAGAUUAAAUUGUAUCGACUUUCAAAAACAAAAAGGCAGAAGCCCUAAAAGGGUAAACUCAGGCACGUGAGGGACUGGGCUGCAAACUUUUCAUCCCCCACUAUAUAAGUCAAAAAAUAAGAAAAGAACCUUUUGAUUUUCAUUUUUCUGAAAUUUAGUUUUAUACUCCCGUUUCCUCUUUUUUGUCUCUCGGGCAGCUCCGCCGCUGGAGAAUCCAAGGUUCUUCGGUUUCCAGCGGCGGAGCACCACACGUUGUGAUCGGAGACUAAAAAACUUAUUGUUUUUUUUCUUCUUCAUUUUUGUUUUUCUUCGUUUCUGGGUUUCAAACUAGAAAAGCCUCGUAGGGGAAAAUGGAAAAAAGAACUUGAAAAUUUUCCCUUUUUUUCGAUAAGGGUUCUCCGUUCCAGAUCUACGAAAUAAAAAAAGGGGGAAAAAGGAAAGGAAAGGAAGCUGGAAGGAAUAAACGCAUGGAUUCACCAAACAGUCUUAGAACCGAGGACUUAGUUCGGUGAAAGCCCUUCAUCGGAGCUCACCACCAUUUGUUUAUGCAUGCACGUGAAAGUAAACGGCAGUGGAGCAAGGCCGAGGGUCUACCUUUAACGGCGUGUUCAGGGGCUUCUCUUUUUUCAAGGGCUUUUUUUUUUUUUGUUUUUUCUUGCAGGUUAUUCCGCUUUUUAAUACUCGUAUUAUUGUUAAUCUCCCAUAUGCUUCUUUGUGUUUGUGGUUCUUUCAUUGUUUUACCCUUCUUGCUUGUAUUCACACCUGCGACACUAAUGUGGGCGUUUGGGCUCCGUUGCUGGGUUGGGUCAGACCCAAAUUUAACUUAAUUGGACUCUGAUCCUAAUUUAGGCUUGACUAGUAAAGUGGACCUGAAAUCAAAUUUUAGGCCUUUAAACAAACGGGCCUUUGAAUUCUUCUCAUUUUUUAUAAAAAGAAAGAAUUUGGACUCUUCAGUGAUAAACCAAUUUGGAAGUUGAUUGAGCCUUGAAGUGGGUUAAAAAUUUAUCAGCAAGCUCAAUUAGAUUCAAAUAUGGGCUUGUAAAACUGAUUUGGAUUCACAGUAAGUUUUAAAUCAACCGGGCUCAAAUCUUUGGGUUUUUUUACUUAACACAUUUCAAUAUUAAGCCCAAUAAUAAUAAUAAUAAUGGCUUGAAAAUUAUUUUCAUUUAUUUAAAAUUUCCCUCUCUUUAAUUUGAUGAUUUUUCAAAAUAAAUUUAAAUUUUUGUUAUGAUUUUUCAAAAAUAAAUUUUAAUUUUGGUCUCAACUUAAUCAUGACGGUUGGUAUCAAAGUUAAGGUUGCGAAGGUGUCAUUGAGAUGUCGAAAGGAGCAGACAAGUAGAAUGUUUCGAUGGAGACCCAUAGGAGGUCCAAGAAACAAAGCAGAUCCAGAGAUAUGUUGUUGUCUUUGGAAAGUCGUGUGGUCAAUCCAAAUGAAUCCACAGGGAAAGUGAAGGAAAUACUUGAGGUAGUGGAGACACACAUUAAUGAGUUAGAUCCAAUGAAAGAGCAGUUCAAGGAAUAUGUGUCGAAUGCCUUUAGUUCCAAUAUAAACGCAGUGGAUACGCCCCUCAAUACUACUGUGAGUAAGCCGACAGAGAAAAUGAUGCUCUUGAAUAUGGGAUAACAGCUAUAAAGGAAGAAAACGAAGCCACAAUGACGGAUUUGAAUGCAAAAAUCAAGGAGCUCAAGGGAAAGCUUACUGUGUGCAAAGUUGUGGGUAAAGGGGUGUUGAGUGCAAUAUUAAACUAAGAGAUUGAUGUCCCCAAACCAUAGAAGUUUAAGGGGACAAGGUUCGCGAGAGAAGUAAACAAUUUCUUAUGGGAGAUGGAGCAAUACUUUCAUGCUGUGGGCAUCAAGAAUGACGAUGCUAAGGUAAAUACUAUUGCUCGAUAUUUUACUAAUUUUGCUCUUAUUUGGUGGAGGCGUAGGUCCACAAAUGAAAAGCAUGGUCAGGCUGCAAUUAGGACUUAGGAAGAAUUCUAGAAUGAAUUUAAUGAGCAGUUUUACCCUUAAUAUAUCGAGAAGGAGGCUUGGGCUAAGUUGGAUCGAUUUUCGCAAAAAGGCACAAUUCAGGAGUAUGUAAAGGAGUUCAGCGAACUCAUGCUCCAAAUUACAGAUUUGAUUAAGAAAAAGGCAUUCUUCUUUUUCAUAGAUUCCUCCCAUUGGGAGAAAAAAAGAGAAAAGGCAUCCCUUUGCCUUGUUAAUAUCUUAUUGUUCUUCAGAUGUGAAAUGUCUGAUUAAAUAGUACAUAAUGAAGCAUGAUUUUAUUCCGUUUGUCCAUUAUGUUUUGGAGUGUUCUGGUGUUUCUAAAACUUGACGUCACUUUGUUGAAGCAUGAUUAAGAAAGAGGCAUUCUUCUUUUUCAUAGAUGGGUUGAAGUCGUGUGUUAAACAAGAAUUAGAAUGUCGAGGGGUCCAAGAAUUGUCGAAAGUCAUGAUCGUGGUAGAAUCUUUAAUCAAGUUGUUUCCAAGGAAAGACAAGUUCAAGUCUUCUAAGCCUAAAGGGAAGAGCAGUGAUGGGGAAGAUAAAGAUGGACAGAUUAAGUUUAGUAACGGUAAUGGUGGCAUAGUGGUAAUGGAAAACCAAAAAAUGGGAAGAGGAAACCUAAAAGUCAUGGAAAAAUAAAAAAAAAUGGCUAUUGAAAUGAUUCAUUUAUAAAGGUCUGCAUAUGGUGAGGGACUGUCCGAAGUGAUUUGUGUUUUUUGCCAUCAGAGACGAUAACAAGCCAGAAAAAGCUUCAAUAAGACUUGGUUCGAUUGUGCGUGGGGUUGAAACCAAGAAGGGCAAUAAGAAUGAGAAGAAGCCAAUGAAGUGUUUCUUAUGUUGUGGUCUGCAUAAGAUACGGGACUAUCCAGAGAGAUCUAAACUGUCCGCAAUCACUAAAGAAGUUGAAGCGGAGCUUGUUGAGGAUAAGGUUGUGACAGCCCAAAAUUGACCCUAGUCGGGAAGUGGUUUCGGGACCACAAAACCGAGUCUUAUAAAUAAUUAAAGAUUAUAUUCUGUGUUUAUGAUGUGCGUAAAUGCUUGUGUGAUAGUUCCAUACUUUAAUUUGGUCAGUGUAUGUGGAAUUUAUUAGUAGAGACUUAUGUGAGACAAUUUAGAAAUAUGCUAGGCAAGUGUUCAAGUGGCCCAUUAAUAUAUGUGGGAAAGUGUUUGUCCUUGCAUGUCAAAUUAGCCAAAUUAAAGCAUAGUGGCUGGCCAUGCUAUAGGUGGAAACAUGUCACCAACAUGUUAUGCUAGUGAUGUAUGCUAAGAAAAAUAAAAUAAAGAGCAUGGUAAUUAAACAAUGAAAAGGAAGGGUGAUGAAAAAAAAAAUGGUCUCAUCCAUACCCCCCCCUUGUUGCCGUGAGUUGAGGAAAGAAAACAAAAAAAAAAUGUGUUCAUUCUUGAACACCUUUGGCCGAAUAGAGGAAAGAAAGGAAGGGGAAGAGCUUGAGAAAAUCGGCUAUGGUGGUUUGCUAGACUAAGGUAUGUUUGAUGUUGUUCUUGAGAUGCAUGCAUGUUUUAGUAGUUGACUUGAGUUCUAAAAACCCAUGGUUCAAUUUUGUGGAUUGAUGAUGAUUUUGUGUUUUGCCAUUGAUGAGUGCUUGAGCUUUUUGAUAGUUGUUGAUGAAAAGUGAAAGAUAUGUUAAAGAUUAAUAUGUUAAAUUAAGGCUUGGUAAGCUAGCUAUUAAGGUGAAAUGCUAAUGUUAGUAUUUGAUUUGGUAAUAAUCUGUUUGGGGACAGCAGCAGUAAGGUGAUUUUGGAAAAUCGCCAUAAUUUGUAGGAGUUGAAUUAGAAGCUGAGUGAAUUAUGCCAUUAAAGCUUGAAGAGUCUAUUUUCUUACAAAAGAAACUAUAAAAACAAAAGAGUUACCGAUCUUGAGAUAUUUGAAGUUGUUGACACCAUUUUUUUGGAUGAAAAACGGGGUCAAUUUGGAUUUUGAAAAUGAAAACAAAAAUAGGGAGUCGCCACCAAUCUCUUUUUUUAUGAGGUGUGAUUGGAUCACCUCAAAAAUAAGGUUGUUUUUAAUAAAUGAUUUGAUUUUAUUAAAACAACGGUUUCGGUCCACGAAAUCUAGAAAACGGGUUCGGGAGUCGGUUACGCACGAGGAAGGAUUAGCACCCUCGAUACGCCCAAAAUUGGUACCUAGUUGAUUACUUAAUGUCUUAAUGUCAAAAAUUGAGAACCUUGAAGAAUUUUAAAAAUACGAUCCUUGUAUUAAAACGUUGAAAAUUUUCAGGAAAAAGGGGAUAUUUCACGUUAUUCGAGAAAGAGAAUCAUAUCUAGUAAGUUAGGACACAAUGUCUCAAAUUCCCGAUACGCGGAUGAAAAAUGCUUAUUUAAAAGAUAUUUUAUUAUCUUGGUUUUAGAAAUAAAUCAGGCCCAGUAAGUUAGGGCACGAUCUUUUCUUAAUUCCCAAUGUUGUUUAAAACUUGAGUUUGAAAAGAUUCGUAUAAUAAAGUUUAAAAGAAUAUUCAAUUGUUUAAAUCAAAUGAAGAAAUCGCAACCCAAUACGUUAGGGCACAAUUUUUCAAAAUAUUAAACAUUGAAUAUUGUAUUUAUUUCGAAAAAUCCUCGUCUCGAGAAAACAACAUGUCACAUCCAAUGCGUUAGGACACAACAUAUUGAAUUCUCGAUAACGAGCUUUUUAUCAUUUUUAAAAAGAGUAAUCUCGAUUAUUUAAAUUCAACGAAAAAAGUCAGAACCCAAUACGUUAGCGCUCGAUUCUCUCGAAGAUCCAAAAUACCGAAUAUUACUUAUUUUUAAAAUUUUUCAUUUUUUGAUAAAUUCGAGUAAAAAAAAUAGAAGCAAAAUAAUGAUAAUGAUGACAAUGUAAAUGAGAUAAUACAAGCACAACUAAAAUGAGCACCAAGUAAAAUACGUAAUAAACAAAUCAAAGAUACAUGAAAUAAUAAAUGAAUAAAAAAUCUAAAGCGUUCCAUAAAAAUAAUAAACGCUUCAAUAAAUGAAUAAAUAAAUAUCAAAUAUAACAAUGAUAACAAUACGAAUUAUAAAAAUGAAAUAUUUAUGUAUGUGCAUCUAUAUAUUUAAAUUAUAAAUUAUAUGAGGGUAUAUACAUAUAUAUAUAUAUACAUAAAAAAACAAAUAUGCAUAUCUAUGUAUAUAUAUAUAAAAAUUAUAAAGCAUAAAAAACAUAAAUAUAUACAUAUAUGUAAAAACGUAUGUUAAUGUAUGUAUAUAUAUAACAAAAUAUGAAAAAUGGUAUAAAUAAAUAAAUAAAAUGCAAUAAUAAUAAUGAUAAUAAUAAUAAUAAUAAAUUCAAUAAUAAAUAAAAUGACAGGAUUGAACUGAAAACAAAACAAAAUGCCAGGGGAGAAAUCAAAAUAAAAUAAGGCCAAAGAUCGAUUUGCGAUGCGCGCAGAAGAAGGGGGAUCGAUUGAGCAAUUUUCCCCAACCUUAUGCGCAGUGCUCCACGCUGGACUAAAUCGAAACGCAUAAAAAGCAAAUAGCCAAAUUUAAAAUUUUGAAUGGGACCAGAUCGCGCCAUAUUGCAUGAACGGAGGGACCGGAUGUGCAAAUAGUCCCUCCGAGCCAGAACGCGCGGAUCUUAGACCCGUUCGGGACGGGUUUUCGGGUCCUAUAAAAAUAAAAAGAAAGAAAAAAAAAACUAAAUCAUUCAUCAUUUAAAAAAACAGAGACACCCUCUGGUUCUCUCUCCCUGCCUCAGCCCUUAAACCCAGGCCACCGUCUCCGCCUCCAUGGCCAGUGGCCGGAGUUACGCGAGAACGGCCCCUUUGCCUUCCCCUUUUGAAGCGUCCCCGAAGGUUAAGCCUUCUUAANNNNNNNNNNNNNNNNNNNNNNNNNNNNNNNNNNNNNNNNNNNNNNNNNNNNNNNNNNNNNNNNNNNNNNNNNNNNNNNNNNNNNNNNNNNNNNNNNNNNNNNNNNNNNNNNNNNNNNNNNNNNNNNNNNNNNNNNNNNNNNNNNNNNNNNNNNNNNNNNNNNNNNNNNNNNNNNNNNNNNNNNNNNNNNNNNNNNNNNNNNNNNNNNNNNNNNNNNNNNNNNNNNNNNNNNNNNNNNNNNNNNNNNNNNNNNNNNNNNNNNNNNNNNNNNNNNNNNNNNNNNNNNNNNNNNNNNNNNNNNNNNNNNNNNNNNNNNNNNNNNNNNNNNNNNNNNNNNNNNNNNNNNNNNNNNNNNNNNNNNNNNNNNNNNNNNNNNNNNNNNNNNNNNNNNNNNNNNNNNNNNNNNNNNNNNNNNNNNNNNNNNNNNNNNNNNNNNNNNNNNNNNNNNNNNNNNNNNNNNNNNNNNNNNNNNNNNNNNNNNNNNNNNNNNNNNNNNNNNNACUUAAGCUCAAGAGCAAAAGGGAACUAGAUCCGAUAAAGGCAAAGAAAAGAUCACUGAGUAGUCGAGUUGGAACCGUCUUACCCAACACAAGGUAAGUCAUUAAGCAUGUAGUUGGUAUUAUUUCAAAUGGUCAUAAUGUUUAUGUAUUGAUGCUGAAUGGAAUGAAUAAAUAUACAUAUAUAUAUAUGCAUGUACGUAUGUGAUGAUGAAAUUGUUGAAUGAAAAGAAAAGAGGUAAGAUGUACUGAGUUGUUGAUCUCGGCACUAAACGUGCGGGUAUAACCAUUUAUGACCAUGAGAUUGGCGCUAAGUGCGCGGGAUUAAAUUGUACAGCACUAAGUGUGCGAUUUGACUAUGUUGCACUAAGUGUGCGAAAUGAAUAUGAUGCACUAAGUGUGCGAAUUGACCAUGCGGCACUAAGUGUGCGAGUUUGACUAUGUAGCACUAAGUGUGCGAUUUGAUUACGUAGCACUAAGUGUGCGAGUUGAUUAUAUAGCACUGAGUGUGCGGACUCAAUAUGCAUUCGUGAAUCAUUAUGGACACUAUGUUUGCGACACUAUUGAGUCGAUCGCGGACAGCGGAUCGGGUAAGUGUCUUGAGUACAUGGCUAAUAGGUGCUAUGCUUAUACUUGGUGUUGAGCUCGGUAAGUUUGAACCUAUGUGACAACCAUACUUGAAGUCACGUACAUAAAAUUUAUCGUAGGAUGGGUGAAAGGCCGUUUAGUCGUUUGAUUGUAACGAAAAUAAAUUGAUUUAUGAAAAUGCUUCAAUGUCCUAUUGAUGAGUAUAUGGAAUGUGAAUGCAUGAAUUGAUAUGAAAUUGAAUCGAUAGGUUGGAGGAACUAUGGUAUGGUUCGGAAUGGAUGGAGUAAUUAGCCUCGUUCCAUUUUGUUUUCUCUUGUGAUAAUGUUAUUGAUGGAUGGUAGUGCAUAGCUUAUGACUUACUGAGUUAUAAACUCACUCGGUGUUUCCUUGUCACCCAUUAUAGGUUGCUUGGACUAUCUAUUUUUGCGGGGUCAGGCCGUCAUCGAAGUCAUCACACCGGAUAGCAAGUUUUGGUACUUUCUUCUUAGUUGGCUUAGAAGAACAUUUUGGCAUGUAUAAGCUAUUACGUUGUGUUUGAACUUUGGCAUGUAAACUUUAAGCCAUGCGAAAAUGGAACGAAUGUUCGAUUGAGUUGGAUCAAGGGU
RNAcentral lists this long non-coding RNA (72622 nucleotides) under Gossypium barbadense (sea-island cotton). Its description in RNAcentral is "long non-coding RNA (GBAR_LNC014307)". Lineage: Eukaryota; Viridiplantae; Streptophyta; Magnoliopsida; Malvales; Malvaceae. The record is from RNAcentral.